This 56435-nucleotide long non-coding RNA is filed under the name Triticum aestivum (bread wheat). RNAcentral's name for it is "long non-coding RNA (TAES_LNC019905)". Lineage: Eukaryota; Viridiplantae; Streptophyta; Magnoliopsida; Poales; Poaceae. The record is from RNAcentral.
UUCUUUCAUCAGUUUGUUCCCCGUUUCUUCUCUAGCCUGAGCCCGACACACUAUUCUAGCUAGACAUGGGUGUGGCUCGUAACACCUAAUGACCAAACGGAUCUACGGCACCGUUGAAUCUCAAACUUUAACAGCCAAAAUUAUUGUUUUUCAUUAUGUAGUCUCUUUUAAAUUACUAAACGUCAUUUUUUGAGCUGAGAUAUCCAGGAACGCUUUCUCGGGGUUUUUGUGCACGUAUUUCAAAUCAUACGGACCUGAAAAUUAGAAGUCAUUCCAUCUUUAUUCCCCUAGAGCCUUCCAGCAGUUCCUAAACCGCUCCAGUUGGACCACGUUAUCAUUCUUGUUAGUUCUGAGUGAAUUACCUUAGUAUGAUCAUUCUUUCAUCAGUUUGUUCCCUGUUUCUUCUAUAGUCUGAGCCUAGCACACUACUCUAGCUAGACAUGGGUGUGGCUCGUAACACCUGAUGACCAAACAGAUCUACGGCACCGUCGAAUCUCAAACUUUAACUGCCAAAACUAUUGUUUUUCAUCCUGUAGACCCUUUUAGAAUUACUAAACGUCCUUUUUUGGGCUGAGAUUUCCGGGAACGCUUUCACGGGGUUUGUGUGCACGUAUUUUAAACCAUAUGGACCUAAAAAUUAGAAGUCAUUCCAUCUUUAUUCCCAUAGAGCCUAACACACUAUUCUAGCUAGAUAUGGGUGUGGCUCGUAACACCUGAUGACCAAACGGAUCUACGGCACCAUCGAAUCUCAAACUUUAACUGCCAAAACUAUUGUAUUUCAUCAUGUAGUCCCUUUUAGAAUUAUUAAACGUCCUUUUUUAGGGCCGUGAUUUCCAUGAACGCUUUCUUGGGGUUUCUGUGCAUGUAUUUCAAAUCAUACGGACCUAAAAAUUAGAAGUCAUUCCAUCUUUAUUCCCCUAGAGCCUUCCAGCAGUUCCUAAACCGCUUCAGUCGGAGCACGUUAUCAUUCUUGUUAGUUCUGAGUGAAUUCCCUUGGUAUGAUCAUUCUUUCAUCAGUUUGUUCCCCGUUUCUUCUCUAGUCUGAGCCUAGCACACUAUUCUAGCUAGACAUGGGUGUGGCUCAUAACACCUCAUGACCAAACGGAUCUACGGCACCAUCGAAUCUCAAACUUUAACUGCCAAAACUAUUGUUUUUCAUCCUGUAGUCCCUUUUAGAAUUACUAAACGUCCUUUUUUGGGCAGAUAUUUCCAGGAACGCUUUAUCGGGGUUUGUGUGCUCGUAUUUCAGACCAUACGGACCUAAAAAUUAGAACUCAUUCCAUCUUUAUUCCCCUAUAGCCUUCCAGCAAUUCCGAAACCACUCUAUUCGGAGCACGUUAUCAUUCUUGUUAGUUCUAAAAGAAUUCCCUCGGUAUGAUCAUUCUUUCAUCAGUUUAUUUCCCGUUUCUUCUCUAGUCUAAGCCUAGCACACUAGUCUAGCUAGACAUGGGUGUGGCUCGUAACACCUGAUGACCAAACGGAUCUACGGCACCGUCAAAUCUCAAACUUUAACUGCCAAAACUAUUGUUUUUCAUCCUGUAGUCCCUUUAGAAUUACAAAAGGUCCUUUUUUGGGCCGAGAUUUCCAGGAACACUUUCUCGGGGGUUUGUGUGCAUGUAUUUCAAACCAUAUGGACCUAAAAAUUAGAAGUCAUUCCAUCUUUAUUCCCCUAGAGCCUUCCAGCAGUUCCUAAACCGCUCCAGUCGGAGCAUGUUAUCAUUCUUGUUAGUUCUGAGUGAAUUCCCUCGGUAUGAUCAUUCUUUCAUCAGUUUGUUCCCCAUUUCUUCUCUAGUCUGAGCCUAGCUCACUAUUCUAGCUAGACAUGGGUGUGGCUCGUAAUACCUGAUGACCAAAUGGAUCUACGGCACCAUCGAAUCUCAAACUUUUACUGCCAAAACUAUUGUUUUUCAUCCUGUAGUCCCUUUUAGAAUUACUAAACGUCCUUUUUUGGGCUGAGAUUUCCAGGAACGCUUUCUUGGGGUUUGUGUGCACGUAUUUCAAACCAAGCGUUCCUAAAAAUUAGAAGUCAUUCCAUCUUUAUUCCCCUAGAGCCUUACAGCAGUUCCUAAACUGCUCCAGUCGGCGCACGUUAUCAUUCUUGUUAGUUCUGAGUGAAUUCCCUCGGUAUGAUCAUUCUUUCAUCAGUUUGUUCCCCGUUUCUUCUCUAGUCUGAGCCUACCACACUAUUCUAGCUAGACAUGGGUGUGGCUCAUAACACCUUAUGACCAAACGGAUCUACGGCACCAUCGAAUCUCAAACUUUAACUGCCAAAACUAUUGUUUUUCAUCCUGUAGUCCCUUUUAGAAUUACUAAACGUCCUUUUUUGGGCAGAUAUUUCCAGGAAUGCUUUAUCGGGGUUUGUGUGCACGUAUUUCAGACCAUACGGACCUAAAAAUUAGAAGUCAUUCCAUCUUUAUUCCCCUAUAGCCUUCCACCAGUUCCUAAACCACUCCAGUCGGAGCACGUUAUCAUUCUUGUUAGUUCUGAGCGAAUUCCCUCGGUAUGAUCAUUCUUUCAUCAGUUUAUUCCCCGUUUCUUCUCUAGUCUAAGCCUAGCACACUAGUCUAGCUAGACAUGGGUGUGGCUCGUAACACCUGAUGACCAAACGGAUCUACGGCACCGUCAAAUCUCAAACUUUAACUGCCAAAACUAUUGUUUUUCAUCCUGUAGUCCCUUUUAGAAUAACUAAACGUCCUUUUUUGGGCCGAGAUUUCCGGGAACACUUUCUCGGGGUUUGUGUGCAUGUAUUUCAAACCAUAUGGACCUAAAAAUUAGAAGUCAUUCCAUCUUUAUUCCCCUAGAGCCUUCCAGCAGUUCCUAAACCGCUCCAGUCGGAGCAUGUUAUCAUUCUUGUUAGUUCUGAGUGAAUUCCCUCGGUACGAUCAUUCUUUCAUCAGUUUGUUCCCCGUUUCUUCUCUAGUCUGAGCCUAGCUCACUAUUCUAGCUAGACAUGGGUGUGGCUCAUAAUACCUGAUGACCAAACGGAUCUACGGCACUAUCGAAUCUCAAACUUUAACUGCCAAAACUAUUGUUUUUCAUCCUGUAGUCCCUUUUAGAAUUACUAAACGUCCUUUUUUGGGCCGAGAUUUCCAGGAACGCUUUCUUGGGGUUUGUGUGCAUGUAUUUCAAACCAAGCGUUCCUAAAAAUUAGAAGUCAUUCCAUCUUUAUUCCCCUAGAGCCUUACAGCAGUUCCUAAACUGCUCCAGUCGGCGCACGUUAUCAUUCUUGUUAGUUCUGAGCGAAUUCCCUCGGUAUGAUCAUUCUUUCAUCAGUUUGUUCCCCAUUUCUUCUCUAGUUUGAGCCUAGCACACUAUUCUAGCUAGACAUGGGUGUGGGUCAUAACACCUGAUGACCAAACAGAUCGACGACACCAUCGACUCUCAAACUUUAACUGCCAAAACUAUUGUUUUUCAUCCUGUAGUCCCUUUUAGAAUUACUAAACGUCCUUUUUUGGGCCGAGAUUUCCAAGAACGCUUUCUCGGGGUUUGUGUGCACGUAUUUCAAACCAAACAUUCCUAAAAAUUAGAAGUCAUUCCAUCUUUAUUCCCCUAGAGCCUUCCAGUAGUUCCUAAACAGCUCCAGUCGGAGGACGUUAUCAUUCUUGUUAGUUCUGAGUGAAUUCCCUCGGUAUGAUCAUUCUUUCAUCAGUUUGUUCCCUGUUUCUUCUCUAGUAUGAGCCUCGCACACUAUUCUAGCUAUUAAUGGGUGUGGAUCGUAACACCUGAUGACCAAACGGAUCUACGGCACCAUCGAAUAUCAAACUUUAACUGCCAAAACUAUUGUUUUUCAUUCUGUAGUCCCUUUUAAAUUACUAAAUGUCAUUUUUGGGCUGAGAUAUCCAGGAACGCUUUCUCGGGGUUUGUGUGCAUGUAUUUCAAAUCAUACGGACCUAAAAAUUAGAAGUCAUUCCAUCUUUAUUCCCCUAGAGCCUUCCAGCAGUUCCUAAACCACUCCAGUCGGAACACGUUGUCAUUAUUGUUAGUUCUGAGUGAAUUCCCUCGGUAUGAUCAUUCUUUCAUCAGUUUUUUCCCCGUUUCUUCUAUAGUCUGAGCCUAUCACACUAUUCUAGCUAGACAUGGGUGUGGCACGUAACACCUGAUGACCAAACGGAUCUACGGCACCGUCGAAUCUCAAACUUUAACUGCCAAAACUAUUGUUUUUCAUCCUGUUGUCCCUUUAGAAUUACUAAAUGUCCUUUUUUGGGCCGAGAUUUCCAGGAACGCUUUCUCGGGAUUUGUGUGCAUGUAUUUCAAACCAUACGGACCUACAAAUUAGGUCAUUCCAUCUUUAUUCCCCUAGAGCCUUCCAGCAGUUCCUAAACUGCUCCAGUCGGAGCACGUUAUCAUUCUUGUUUGUUCUCAGCGAAUUCCCUCGGUAUGAUCAUUCUUUCAUCAUUUUGUUCCCCGUUUCUUCUCUAGUCUAAGCCUAGCACACUAUUCUAGCUACACAUGGGUGUGGCUCGUAACACCUGAUGACCAAACGGAUCUACGGCACCGUCGAAUCUCAAACUUUAACUGCCAAAACUAUUGUUUUUCAACCUAUAGUCCCUUUUAAAUUUACUAAACGUCCUUUUUUGGGCUGAGAUUUCCAGGAACGCUUUCGUGCGGUUUGUGUGCAAGUAUUUGAAAUCAUACGGACCUAUAAAUUAGAAGUCAUUUCAUCUUUAUUCCCCUAGAGCCUUCGAGCGGUUCCUAAACCGCUCCAGUCGGAGCAUGUUAUCGUUCUUGUUAGUUCUGAGUGAAUUCCCUCGGUAUGAUCAUUCUUUCAUCAGUUUGUUCCCCAUUUCUUCUCUAGUCUGAGCCUAGCACACUACUCUAGCUAGACAUGGGUUUGGCUUGUAACACCUGAUAACCAAACGGGUCUACGACACCAUCGAAUCUCAAACUUUUUUGGGCCGAGAUUUCCAGGAACGCUUUCUCGGGGUUUGUGUGCACGUAUUUCAAAUCAUGCGGACCUAAAAAUUAGAAGUCAUUCCAUAUUUAUUCCCCUAGAGCCUUCCAGCAGUUCCCAAACCGCUCCAGUCGGAGCAUGUUAUCAUUCUUGUUAGUUCUGAGCGAGUUCCCUCGGUAUGAUCAUUCUUUCAUCAGUUUGUUCCCUGUUUCUUCUCUAGCCUGAGCCUGACACACUAUUAUAGCUAGACAUGGGUGUGGCUCGUGACACCUGAUGACCAAAUGGAUCUACGGCACCGUCGAAUCUCAAACUUUAACUGCCAAAACUAUUGUUUUUCAUCCUGUAGUCCCUUUUAGAAUUACGAAACGUCCUUUUUUGGGCCAUGAUUUCCAGGAAUGCUUUCUUGGGGUUUGUGUGCACGUAUUUCAAACCAUACGGACCUAAAAAUUAGAAGUCAUUCCAUCUUUAUUCCCCUAGAGCCUUCCAGCAGUUCCUAAACUGCUCUAUUUGGAGCAUGUUAUCAUUCUUGUUAGUUCUGAGUGAAUUCCCUCGGUAUGAUCAUUCUUUCAUCAGUUUGUUCCCCGUUUCUUCUCUAGUCUGAGCCUAGCACACUAUUCUAGCUAUUAAUGGGUGUGGAUCGUAACACCUGAUGAGCAAACGGAUCUACGGCACAAUCGAAUCUCAAACUUUAACUGCCAAAACUAUUGUUUUUCAUUCUGUAGUCCCUUUUCGAAUUAUUAAACGUCCUUUUUUGGGCCGAGAUUUCCAGGAACGCUUUCUCGGGGUUUGUGUGCAUGUAUUUCAAAUCAUACGGACCUAAAAAUUAGAAGGCAUUCCAUCUUUAUUCCCCUAGAGCCUUCCAGCAGUUCCUAAACCGCUCCAGUCGGAGCAUGUUAUCAUUCUUGUUAGUUCUGAGCGAAUUCCCUCGGUAUGAUCAUUCUAUCAUCUGUUUGUUCCCUGUUUCUUCGCUAGCCUAAGCCUGACACACUAUUCUAGCUAGACAUGGGUGUGGCUCGUGACACCUAAUGACCAAACGGAUCUACGGCACCCUCGAAUCUCAAACUUUAACUACCAAAACUAUUGUUUUUCAUUCUGUAGUCCCUUUUAGAUUACUAAACAUCCUUUUUUGGGCUGAGAUUUCCAGGAACGCUUUCUCGGGGUUUGUGUGCAUGUAUUUCAAACCAAACGUUCCUAAAAUUAGAAGUCAUUCCAUCUUAAUUCCCCUAGAGCCUUCUAGCAAUUCCUAAACAGCUCUAGUCGGAGCAUGUUAUCAUUCUUGUUAAUUCUGAGCGAAUUCCCUCCGUAUGAUCAUUCUUUCAUCAGUUUGUUCCCCGUUUCUUCUCUAGUCUAAGCCUAGCACACUAGUCUAGCUAGACAUGGGUGUGGCUCGUAACACCUGAUGACCAAACGGAUCUACGGCACCGUCAAAUGUCAAACUUUAACUGCCAAAACUAUUGUUUUUCAUCCUGUAGUCCCUUUUCGAAUUAUUAAACGUCCUUUUUUGGGCCGAGAUUUCCAGGAACGCUUUCUCGGGGUUUGUGUGGAUGUAUUUCAAAUCAUACGGACCUAAAAAUUAGAAGGCAUUCCAUCUUUAUUCCCCUAGAGCCUUCCAGCAGUUCCUANNNNNNNNNNNNNNNNNNNNNNNNNNNNNNNNNNNNNNNNNNNNNNNNNNNNNNNNNNNNNNNNNNNNNNNNNNNNNNNNNNNNNNNNNNNNNNNNNNNNNNNNNNNNNNNNNNNNNNNNNNNNNNNNNNNNNNNNNNNNNNNNNNNNNNNNNNNNNNNNNNNNNNNNNNNNNNNNNNNNNNNNNNNNNNNNNNNNNNNNNNNNNNNNNNNNNNNNNNNNNNNNNNNNNNNNNNNNNNNNNNNNNNNNNNNNNNNNNNNNNNNNNNNNNNNNNNNNNNNNNNNNNNNNNNNNNNNNNNNNNNNNNNNNNNNNNNNNNNNNNNNNNNNNNNNNNNNNNNNNNNNNNNNNNNNNNNNNNNNNNNNNNNNNNNNNNNNNNNNNNNNNNNNNNNNNNNNNNNNNNNNNNNNNNNNNNNNNNNNNNNNNNNNNNNNNNNNNNNNNNNNNNNNNNNNNNNNNNNNNNNNNNNNNNNNNNNNNNNNNNNNNNNNNNNNNNNNNNNNNNNNNNNNNNNNNNNNNNNNNNNNNNNNNNNNNNNNNNNNNNNNNNNNNNNNNNNNNNNNNNNNNNNNNNNNNNNNNNNNNNNNNNNNNNNNNNNNNNNNNNNNNNNNNNNNNNNNNNNNNNNNNNNNNNNNNNNNNNNNNNNNNNNNNNNNNNNNNNNNNNNNNNNNNNNNNNNNNNNNNNNNNNNNNNNNNNNNNNNNNNNNNNNNNNNNNNNNNNNNNNNNNNNNNNNNNNNNNNNNNNNNNNNNNNNNNNNNNNNNNNNNNNNNNNNNNUCGCUAGCCUAAGCCUGACACACUAUUCUAGCUACACAUGGGUGUGGCUCGUGACACCUAAUGACCAAACAGAUCUACGGCACCGUCGAAUCUCAAACUUUAACUACCAAAACUAUUGUUUUUCAUUCUGUAGUCCCUUUUAAAUUACUAAACGUCAUUUUUUGGGCCGAGAUUUCUAGGAACGCUUUCUCGGGGUUUGUGUGCAUGUAUUUCAAGUCAUAUGGACCUAAAAAUUAGAAUCCAUUCCAUCUUUAUUCCCCUAGAGCCUUCCAGCAGUUCCUAAACUGCUCCAGUCGGAGCACAUUAUCAUUAUUGUUAGUUCUGAGUGAAUUCCCUCGGUAUGAUCAUUCUUUCAUCAGUUUGUUCCCCGUUUCUGCUCUACUCUGAGCUUAACACACUAUUCUAGCUAGACAUGGGUGUGGCUCGUAACACCUGAUGACCAAACGGAUCUACGAUACCGUCGAAUCUCAAACUUUGACUACGAAAACUAUUGUUUUUCAUUCUAUAGUCCCUUUUAGAAUUACUAAACGUCCUUUUUUGGGCCGAGAUUUCUAGGAACGCUUUCUCGGGGUUUGUGUGCACGUAUUUCAAACAAUACGGACCUAAAAAUUAGAAUUCAUUCCAUCUUUAUUCCCCUAGAGCCUUCCAGCAGUUCCUAAACCGCUCAAGUCGGAGCACUUUAUCAUUCUUGUUAGUUCUCAGCGAAUUCCCUCGGUAUGAUCAUUCUUUCAUCAGUUUGUUCCCCAUUUCUUCUCUAGCCUGAGCCUAACACACUAUUCUAGCUACACAUGGGUGUGGCUCGUCACACCCGAUGACCAAACGGAUCUACGGCACCGUCGAAUCUCAAACUUUAACUGCCAAAACUAUUGUUUUUCAUCCUGUAGUCCCUUUUAGAAUUACUAAACGUCCUUUUUUGGGUAGAUAUUUCCAGGAACGCUUUAUCGGGGUUUGUGUGCACGUAUUUCAGACCAUACGGACCUAAAAAUUAGAAGUCAUUCCAUCUUUAUUCCCCUAUAGCCUUCCAGCAGUUCCUAAACCGCUCCAGUCGGAGCCCGUUAUCAUUCUUGUUAGUUUUGAGCGAAUUCCCUCGGUAUGAUCAUUCUUUCAUCAGUUUGUUCCCCGUUUCUUCUCUAGUCUAAGCCUAGCACACUAGUUUAGCUAGACAUGGGUGUGGCUCGUAACACCUGAUGGCCAAACGGAUCUACGGCACCGUGAAAUCUCAAACUUUAACUGCCAAAACUGUUGUUUUUCAUCCUGUAGUCCCUUUUAGAAUUACUAAACGUCCUUUUUUGGGCUGAGAUUUCCAGGAACACUUUCUCGGGGUUUGUGUGCAUGUAUUUCAAACCAUAUGGACCUAAAAAUUAGAAGUCAUUCCAUCUUUAUUCCCCUAGAGCCUUCCAACAGUCCCUAAACCGCUCCAGUCCGAGCAUGUUAUCAUUCUUGUUAGUUCUGAGUGAAUUCCCUCGGUAUGAUCAUUCUUUCAUCAGUUUGUUCCCCAUUUCUUCUCUAGUCUGAGCCUAGCUCACUAUUCUAGCUAGACAUGGGUGUGGCUUAUAAUACCUGAUGACCAAACGGAUCUACGGCACCAUCGAAUCUCAAACUUUAACUGCCAAAACUAUUGUUUUUCAUCCUGUAGUCCCUUUUAGAAUUACUAAACGUCCUUUUUUGGGCCGAGAUUUCCAGGAACGCUUUCUCGGGGUUUGUGUGCACGUAUUUCAAACCAAGCGUUCUUAAAAAUUAGAAGUUAUUCCAUCUUUAUUCCCCUAGAGCCUUACAGCAGUUCCUAAACUGCUCCAAUCGGCGCACGUUAUCAUUCUUGUUAGUUCUGAGCGAAUUCCCUCGGUAUGAUCAUUCUUUCAUCAGUUUGUUCCCCGUUUCUUCUCUAGUUUGAGCCUAGCACACUAUUCUAGCUAGACAUGGGUGUGGGUCAUAACACCUGAUGACCAAACAGAUCGACGACACCAUCGAAUCGCAAACUUUAACUGCCAAAACUAUUGUUUUUCAUCCUGUAGUCCCUUUUAGAAUUACUAAACGUCCUUUUUUGGGUCGAGAUUUCCAAGAACGCUUUCUCGGGGUUUGUGUGCACGUAUUUCAAACCAAAAAUUCCUAAAAAUUAGAAGUCAUUCCAUCUUUAUUCCCCUAGAGCCUUCCAGCAGUUCCUAAACAGCUCUAGUCGGAGCACGUUAUCAUUCUUGUUAGUUCUGAGCGAAUUCCCUCGGUAUGAUCAUUCUUUCAUCAGUUUGUUCCCCGUUUCUUCUAUAGUCUGAGCCUAUCACACUAUUCUAGCUAGACAUGGGUGUGGCUCGUAACACCUGAUGACCAAACGGAUCUACGGCACCAUCAAAUCUAAAACUUUAACUGCCAAAACUAUUGUUUUUCAUCCUGUAGUCCCUUUAGAACUACUAAAUGUCCUUUUUUGGGCCGAUAUUUCCAGGAACGCUUUCUCGGGGUUUGUGUGCAUGUAUUUCAAACCAUACGGACCUAAAAAUUAGGUCAUUCCAUCUUUAUUCCCCUAGAGCCUUCCAGCAGUUCCUAAACCGCUCCAGUCGGAGCAUGUUAUCAUUCUUGUUUGUUCUGAGUGAAUUCCCUCAGUAUGAUCAUUCUUUCAUCAUUUUGUUCCCCGUUUCUUCUCUAGUCUGAGCCUAGCACACUAUUCUAGCUAGACAUGGGUGUGGCUCGUAACACCUGACCAAACGGAUCUACGGCACCGUCGAAUCUCAAACUUUAACUGCCAAAACUAUUGUUUUUCAUCCUGUAGUCCCUUUUAAAUUUAAUAAACGUCCUUUUUUUGGGCUGAGAUUUCCAGGAACGCUUUCGUGCGGUUUGUGUGCAAGUAUUUCAAAUCAUACAGACCUAUAAAUUAGAAGUCAUUUCAUCUUUAUUCCCCUAGAGCCUUCGAGCGGUUCCUAAACCGCUCAAGUCGGAGCAUGUUAUCAUUCUUGUUAGUUCUGAGUGAAUUCCCUCGGUAUGAUCAUUCUUUCAUCAGUUUGUUCCCCAUUCCUUCUCUAGUCUGAGCCUAGCACACUACUCUAGCUAGACAUGGGUUUGGCUCGUAACACCUGAUAACCAAACGGGUCUACGACACCAUCGAAUCUCAAACUUUUUUGGGCCAAGAUUUCCAGGAACGCUUUCUCGGGGUUUGUGUGCACGUAUUUCAAAUCAUGCGGACCUAAAAAUUAGAAGUCAUUCCAUAUUUAUUCCCCUAGAGCCUUCCAGCAGUUCCUAAACCGCUCCAGUUGGACCACGUUAUCAUUCUUGUUAGUUCUGAGUGAAUUACCUCGGUAUGAUCAUUCUUUCAUCAGUUUGUUCCCCGUUUCUUCUAUAGUCUGAGCCUAGCACACUACUCUAGCUAGACAUGGGAGUGGCUCGUAACACCUGAUGACCAAACAGAUCUAUGGCACCGUCGAAUCUCAAACUUUAACUACCAAAACUAUUGUUUUUCAUCCUGUAGUCCCUUUUAGAAUUACUAAAUGUCAUUUUUUGGGCUGAGAUUUCCAGGAACGCUUUCGCGGGGUUUGUGUGCACGUAUUUCAAACCAUAGGGACCUAAAAAUUAGAAGUCAUUCCAUCUUUAUUCCCCUAGAGCCUAACACACUAUUCUAGCUAGACAUGGGUGUGGCUCGUAACACCUGAUGACCAAACGGAUCUACGGCACCAUCGAAUCUCAAACUUUAACUGCCAAAAUUAUUGUAUUUCAUCCUGUAGUCCCUUUUAGAAUUAUUAAACGUCCUUUUUUUGGGCUGUGAUUUCCAUGAACGCUUUCUCGGGGUUUCUGUGCACGUAUUUCAAAUCAUACAGACCUAAAAAUUAGAAGUCAUUCCAUCUUUAUUCCCCUAGAGCCUUCCAACAGUUCCUAAACCGCUCCAGUCGGAGCACAUUAUCAUUCUUGUUAGUUCUGAGUGAAUUCCCAUGGUAUGAUCAUUCUUUCAUUAGUUUGUUCCCCGUUUCUUCUCUAGUCUGAGCCUACCACACUAUUCCAGCUAGACAUGGGUGUGGCUCAUAACACCUUAUGACCAAACGGAUCUACGGCACCAUCGAAUCUCAAACUUUAACCGCCAAAACUAUUGUUUUUCAUCCUGUAGUCCCUUUUAGAAUUACUAAACGUCCUUCUUUGGGUAGAGAUUUCCAGGAAUGCUUUAUCGGGGUUUGUGUGCACGUAUUUCAGACCAUACGGACCUAAAAAUUAGAAGUCAUUCCAUCUUUAUUCCCCUAGAGCCUUCCAACAGUUCCUGAACCGCUCCAGUCGGAGCAUGUUAUCAUUCUUGUUAGUUCUGAGCGAAUUCCCUCGGUAUGAUCAUUCUUUCAUCAGUUUGUUUCCCGUUUCUUCUCUAGUCUGAGCCUAGCACACUACUCUAGCUAGACAUUGGUGUGGCUCGUAACACCUGAUGACCAAACGGAUCUACGGCACCGUCAAAUCUCAAACUUUAACUGCCAAAACUAUUGUUUUUCAUCCUGUAGUCCCUUUUAGAAUUACUAAACGUCCUUUUUUGGGCCGAUAUUUCCAGGAACGCUUUCUUGGGGUUUGUGUGCAUGUAUUUCAAACCAUAUGGAACUAAAAAUUACAAGUCAUUCCAUCUUUAUUCCACUAGAGCCUUCCAGCAGUUCCUAAACCGCUCCAAUCGGAGCAUGUUAUCAUUCUUGUUAAUUCUGAGUGAAUUCCCUUGGUAUGAUCAUUCUUUCAUCAGUUUGUUCCCGAUUUCUUCUCCAGUCUGAGCCUAGCUCACUAUUCUAGCUAGACAUGGGUGUGGCUCAUAAUACCUGAUGACCAAACGGAUCUACGACACCAUCGAAUCUCAAACUUUAACUGCCAAAACUAUUGUUUUUCAUCUUGUAGUCCCUUUUAGAAUUACUAAAAGUCCUUUAUUGGGCCGAGAUUUCCAGGAACGCUUUAUCGGGGUUUGUGUGCUCGUAUUUCAGACCAUACGGACCUAAAAAUUAGAACUCAUUCCAUCUUUAUUCCCCUAGAGCCUUCCAGCAGCUCCUAAACCGCUCCAGUCGGAGCACGUUAUCAUUCUUGUUAGUUCUGAGCAAAUUCCCUCGUUAUGAUCAUUCUUUCAUCAGUUUGUUCCCCGUUCCUUCUCUGGUCUGAGCCUAGCACACUAUUCUAGCUAUUAAUGGGUGUGGAUCGUAACACUUGAUGAUCAAACAGAUCUACGGCACCAUCGAUUCUCAAACUUUAACUGCCAAAACUAUUGUUUUUCAUCCCGUAGUCCCUUUUAGAAUUAUUAAACGUCCUUUUUUGGGCCGAGAUUUCUAGGAACGCUGCCUCGGGGUUUUUGUGCACGUAUUUCAAAUCAUACGGACCUGAAAAUUAGAAGUCAUUCCAUCUUUAUUCCCCUAGAGCCUUCCAGCAGUUCCUAAACCGCUCCAGUUGGACCACGUUAUCAUUCUUGUUAGUUCUGAGUGAAUUACCUUAGUAUGAUCAUUCUUUCAUCAGUUUGUUCCCUGUUUCUUCUAUAGUCUGAGCCUAGCACACUACUCUAGCUAGACAUGGGUGUGGCUCGUAACACCUGAUGACCAAACAGAUCUACGACACCGUCGAAUCUCAAACUUUAACUGCCAAAACUAUUGUUUUUCAUCCUGUAGACCCUUUUAGAAUUACUAAACGUCCUUUUUUGGGCUGAGAUUUCCAGGAACGCUUUCACGGGGUUUGUGUGCACGUAUUUUAAACCAUAUGGACCUAAAAAUUAGAAGUCAUUCCAUCUUUAUUCCCAGAGAGCCUAACACACUAUUCUAGCUAGAUAUGGGUGUGGCUCGUAACACCUGAUGACCAAACGGAUCUACGGCACCAUCGAAUCUCAAACUUUAACUGCCAAAACUAUUGUAUUUCAUCAUGUAGUCCCUUUUAGAAUUAUUAAACGUCCUUUUUUAGGGCCGUGAUUUCCAUGAACGCUUUCUUGGGGUUUCUGUGCAUGUAUUUCAAAUCAUACGGACCUAAAAAUUAGAAGUCAUUCCAUCUUUAUUCCCCUAGAGCCUUCCAGCAGUUCCUAAACCGCUUCAGUCGGAGCACGUUAUCAUUCUUGUUAGUUCUGAGUGAAUUCCCUUGGUAUGAUCAUUCUUUCAUCAGUUUGUUCCCCGUUUCUUCUCUAGUCUGAGCCUAGCACACUAUUCUAGCUAGACAUGGGUGUGGCUCAUAACACCUUAUGACCAAACGGAUCUACGGCACCAUCGAAUCUCAAACUUUAACUGCCAAAACUAUUGUUUUUCAUCCUGUAGUCCCUUUUAGAAUUACUAAACGUCCUUUUUUGGGCAGAUAUUUCCAGGAACGCUUUAUCGAGGUUUGUGUGCUCGUAUUUCAGACCAUACGGACCUAAAAAUUAGAACUCAUUCCAUCUUUAUUCCCCUAUAGCCUUCCAGCAAUUCUGAAACCACUCCAGUCGGAGCACGUUAUCAUUCUUGUUAGUUCUAAAAGAAUUCCCUCGGUAUGAUCAUUCUUUCAUCAGUUUAUUUCCCGUUUCUUCUCUAGUCUAAGCCUAGCACACUAGUCUAGCUAGACAUGGGUGUGGCUCGUAACACCUGAUGACCAAACGGAUCUACGGCACCGUCAAAUCUCAAACUUUAACUGCCANNNNNNNNNNNNNNNNNNNNNNNNNNNNNNNNNNNNNNNNNNNNNNNNNNNNNNNNNNNNNNNNNNNNNNNNNNNNNNNNNNNNNNNNNNNNNNNNNNNNNNNNNNNNNNNNNNNNNNNNNNNNNNNNNNNNNNNNNNNNNNNNNNNNNNNNNNNNNNNNNNNNNNNNNNNNNNNNNNNNNNNNNNNNNNNNNNNNNNNNNNNNNNNNNNNNNNNNNNNNNNNNNNNNNNNNNNNNNNNNNNNNNNNNNNNNNNNNNNNNNNNNNNNNNNNNNNNNNNNNNNNNNNNNNNNNNNNNNNNNNNNNNNNNNNNNNNNNNNNNNNNNNNNNNNNNNNNNNNNNNNNNNNNNNNNNNNNNNNNNNNNNNNNNNNNNNNNNNNNNNNNNNNNNNNNNNNNNNNNNNNNNNNNNNNNNNNNNNNNNNNNNNNNNNNNNNNNNNNNNNNNNNNNNNNNNNNNNNNNNNNNNNNNNNNNNNNNNNNNNNNNNNNNNNNNNNNNNNNNNNNNNNNNNNNNNNNNNNNNNNNNNNNNNNNNNNNNNNNNNNNNNNNNNNNNNNNNNNNNNNNNNNNNNNNNNNNNNNNNNNNNNNNNNNNNNNNNNNNNNNNNNNNNNNNNNNNNNNNNNNNNNNUCAUCAGUUUGUUCCCCAUUUCUUCUCUAGUCUGAGCCUAGCUCACUAUUCUAGCUAGACAUGGGUGUGGCUCGUAAUACCUGAUGACCAAAUGGAUCUACGGCACCAUCGAAUCUCAAACUUUUACUGCCAAAACUAUUGUUUUUCAUCCUGUAGUCCCUUUUAGAAUUACUAAACGUCCUUUUUUGGGCCGAGAUUUCCAGGAACGCUUUCUUGGGGUUUGUGUGCACGUAUUUGAAACCAAGCGUUCCUAAAAAUUAGAAGUCAUUCCAUCUUUAUUCCCCUAGAGCCUUACAGCAGUUCCUAAACUGCUCCAGUCGGCGCACGUUAUCAUUCUUGUUAGUUCUGAGUGAAUUCCCUCGGUAUGAUCAUUCUUUCAUCAGUUUGUUCCCCGUUUCUUCUCUAGUCUGAGCCUACCACACUAUUCUAGCUAGACAUGGGUGUGGCUCAUAACACCUUAUGACCAAACGGAUCUACGGCACCAUCGAAUCUCAAACUUUAACUGCCAAAACUAUUGUUUUUCAUCCUGUAGUCCUUUUUACAAUUACUAAACGUCCUUUUUUGGGCAGAUAUUUCCAGGAAUGCUUUAUCGGGGUUUGUGUGCACGUAUUUCAGACCAUACGGACCUAAAAAUUAGAAGUCAUUCCAUCUUUAUUUUCCUAUAGCCUUCCAGCAGUUCCUAAACCACUCCAGUCGGAGCACGUUAUCAUUCUUGUUAGUUCUGAGCGAAUUCCCUCGGUAUGAUCAUUCUUUCAUCAGUUUAUUCCCCGUUUCUUCUCUAGUCUAAGCCUAGCACACUAGUCUAGCUAGACAUGGGUGUGGCUCGUAACACCUGAUGACCAAACGGAUCUACGGCACCGUCAAAUCUCAAACUUUAACUGCCAAAACUAUUGUUUUUCAUCCUGUAGUCCCUUUUAGAAUAACUAAACGUCCUUUUUUGGGCCGAGAUUUUCGGGAACACUUUCUCGGGGUUUGUGUGCAUGUAUUUCAAACCAUAUGGACCUAAAAAUUAGAAGUCAUUCCAUCUUUAUUCCCCUAGAGCCUUCCAGCAGUUCCUAAACCGCUCCAGUCGGAGCAUGUUAUCAUUCUUGUUAGUUCUGAGUGAAUUCCCUCGGUACGAUCAUUCUUUCAUCAGUUUGUUCCCCAUUUCUUCUCUAGUCUGAGCCUAGCUCACUAUUCUAGCUAGACAUGGGUGUGGCUCAUAAUACCUGAUGACCAAACGGAUCUACGGCACUAUCGAAUCUCAAACUUUAACUGCCAAAACUAUUGUUUUUCAUCCUGUAGUCCCUUUUAGAAUUACUAAACGUCCUUUUUUGGGCCGAGAUUUCCAGGAACGCUUUCUUGGGGUUUGUGUGCACGUAUUUCAAACCAAGCGUUCCUAAAAAUUAGAAGUCAUUCCAUCUUUAUUCCCCUAGAGCCUUACAGCAGUUCCUAAACUGCUCCAGUCGGCGCACGUUAUCAUUCUUGUUAGUUCUGAGCGAAUUCCCUCGGUAUGAUCAUUCUUUCAUCAGUUUGUUCCCCAGUUCUUCUCUAGUUUGAGCCUAGCACACUAUUCUAGCUAGACAUGGGUGUGGGUCAUAACACCUGAUGACCAAACAGAUCGACGGCACCAUCGACUCUCAAACUUUAACUGCCAAAACUAUUGUUUUUCAUCCUGUAGUCCCUUUUAGAAUUACUAAACGUCCUUUUUUGGGCUGAGAUUUCCAAGAACGCUUUCUCGUGGUUUGUGUGCAUGUAUUUCAAACCAAACAUUCCUAAAAAUUAGAAGUCAUUCCAUCUUUAUUCCCCUAGAGCCUUCCAGUAGUUCCUAAACAGCUCCAGUCGGAGCACGUUAUCAUUCUUGUUAGUUCUGAGCGAAUUCCCUCGGUAUGAUCAUUCUUUCAUCAGUUUGUUCCCUGUUUCUUCUCUAGUAUGAGCCUCGCACACUAUUCUAGCUAUUAAUGGGUGUGGAUCGUAACACCUGAUGACCAAACGGAUCUACGGCACCAUCGAAUCUCAAACUUUAACUGCCAAAACUAUUGUUUUUCAUUCUGUAGUCCCUUUUAAAUUACUAAACGUCAUUUUUGGGCUGAGAUAUCCAGGAACGCUUUCUCGGGGUUUGUGUGCACGUAUUUCAAAUCAUACGGACCUAAAAAUUCGAAGUCAUUCCAUCUUUAUUCCCCUAGAGCCUUCCAGCAGUUCCUAAACCACUCCAGUCGGAACACGUUGUCAUUAUUGUUAGUUCUGAGUGAAUUCCCUCGGUAUGAUCAUUCUUUCAUCAGUUUUUUCCCCGUUUCGCCUAUCACACUAUUCUAGCUAGACAUGGGUGUGGCUCGUAACACCUGAUGACCAAACGGAUCUACGGCACCGUCGAAUCUCAAACUUUAACUGCCAAAACUAUUGUUUUUCAUCCUGUUGUCCCUUUAGAAUUACUAAAUGUCCUUUUUUGGGCCGAGAUUUCCAGGAACGCUUUCUCGGGGUUUGUGUGCAUGUAUUUCAAACCAUACGAACCUAAAAAUUAGGUCAUUCCAUCUUUAUUCCCCUAGAGCCUUCCAGCAGUUCCUAAACCGCUGCAGUCGGAGCACGUUAUCAUUCUUGUUUGUUCUGAGCGAAUUCCCUCAGUAUGAUCAUUCUUUCAUCAUUUUGUUCCCCGUUUCUUCUCUAGUCUAAGCCUAGCACACUAUUCUAGCUAGACAUGGGUGUGGCUCGUAACACCUGAUGACCAAACGGAUCUACGGCACCGUCGAAUCUCAAACUUUAACUGCCAAAACUAUUGUUUUUCAUCCUAUAGUCCCUUUUAAAUUUACUAAACGUCCUUUUUUGGGCUGAGAUUUCCAGGAACGCUUUCGUGCGGUUUGUGUGCAACUAUUUCAAAUCAUACAGACCUAUAAAUUAGAAGUCAUUUCAUCUUUAUUCCCCUAGAGCCUUCGAGCGGUUCCUAAACCACUCCAGUCGGAGCAUGUUAUCAUUCUUGUUAGUUCUGAGUGAAUUCCCUCGGUAUGAUCAUUCUUUCAUCAGUUUGUUCCCCAUUUCUUCUCUAGUCUGAGCCUAGCACACUACUCUAGCUAGACAUGGGUUUGGCUCGUAACACCUGAUAACCAAACGGGUCUACGACACCAUCGAAUCUCAAACUUUUUUGGGCCGAGAUUUCCAGGAACGCUUUCUCGGGGUUUGCGUGCACGUAUUUCAAGUCACGCGGACCUAAAAAUUAGAAGUCAUUCCAUAUUUAUUCCCCUAGAGCCUUCCAGCAGUUCCCAAACCGCUCCAGUCGGAGCAUGUUAUCAUUCUUGUUAGUUCUGAGCGAAUUCCCUCGGUAUGAUCAUUCUUUCAUCAGUUUGUUCCCUGUUUCUUCUCUAGACUGAGCCUGACACACUAUUCUAGCUAGACAUGGGUGUGGCUCGUGACACCUGAUGACCAAAUGGAUCUACGGCACCGUCGAAUCUCAAACUUUAACUGCCAAAACUAUUGUUUUUCAUCCUGUAGUCCCUUUUAGAAUUACGAAACGUCCUUUUUUGGGCCAAGAUUUCGAGGAAUGCUUUCUCGGGGUUUGUGUGCACGUAUUUCAAACCAUACGGACCUAAAAAUUAGAAGUCAUUCCAUCUUUAUUCCCCUAGAGCCUUCCAGCAGUUCCUAAACUGCUCUAUUUGGAGCAUGUUAUCAUUCUUGUUAGUUCUGAGUGAAUUCCCUCGGUAUGAUCAUUCUUUCAUCAGUUUGUUCCCCGUUUCUUCUCUAGUCUGAGCCUAGCACACUAUUCUAGCUAUUAAUGGGUGUGGAUCGUAACACCUGAUGACCAAACGGAUCUACGGCACCAUCGAAUCUCAAACUUUAACUGCCAAAACUAUUGUUUUUCAUUCUGUAGUCCCUUUUCGAAUUAUUAAACGUCCUUUUUUGGGUCGAGAUUUCCAGGAACGCUUUCUUGGGGUUUGUGUGCAUGUAUUUCAAAUCAUACGGACCUAAAAAUUAGAAGGCAUUCCAUCUUUAUUCCCCUAGAGCCUUCCAGCAGUUCCUAAACCGCUCCAGUCGGAGCAUGUUAUCAUUCUUGUUAGUUUUGAGCGAAUUCCCUCGGUAUGAUCAUUCUAUCAUCUGUUUGUUCCCUGUUUCUUCGCUAGCCUAAGCCUGACACACUAUUCUAGCUAGACAUGGGUGUGGCUCGUGACACCUAAUGACCAAACGGAUCUACGGCACCCUCGAAUCUCAAACUUUAACUACCAAAACUAUUGUUUUUCAUUCUGUAGUCCCUUUUAGAUUACUAAACAUCCUUUUUUGGGCUGAGAUUUCCAGGAACGCUUUCUCGAGGUUUGUGUGCAUGUAUUUCAAACCAAACGUUCCUAAAAUUAGAAGUCAUUCCAUCUUUAUUCCCCUAGAGCCUUCUAGCAGUUCCUAAACAGCUCUAGUCGGAGCAUGUUAUCAUUCUUGUUAAUUCUGAGCGAAUUCCCUCCGUAUGAUCAUUCUUUCAUCAGUUUGUUCUCUGUUUCUGCUCUAGUCUGAGCCUAGCACACUAUUCUAGCUAUUAAUGGGUGUGUAUCGUAACACCUAAUGACCAAACGGAUCUACGACACCAUCGAAUCUCAAACUUUAACUGCCAAAACUAUUGUUUUUCAUCCUGUAGUCCCUUUUCGAAUUAUUAAACGUCCUUUUUUGGGCCGAGAUUUCCAGGAACGCUUUCUCGGGGUUUGUGUGGAUGUAUUUCAAAUCAUACGGACCUAAAAAUUAGAAGGCAUUCCAUCUUUAUUCCCCUAGAGCCUUCCAGCAGUUCCUAAACCGCUCCAGUCGGAGCAUGUUAUCAUUCUUGUUAGUUCUGAGCGAAUUCCCUCGGUAUGAUCAUUCUAUCAUCAGUUUGUUCCCUGUUUCUUCGCUAGCCUAAGCCUGACACACUAUUCUAGCUACACAUGGGUGUGGCUCGUGACACCUAAUGACCAAACAGAUCUACGGCACCGUCGAAUCUCAAACUUUAACUACCAAAACUAUUGUUUUUCAUUCUGUAGUCCCUUUUAAAUUACUAAACGUCAUUUUUUGGGCCGAGAUUUCUAGGAACGCUUUCUCAGGGUUUGUGUGCAUGUAUUUCAAGUCAUAUGGACCUAAAAAUUAGAAUCCAUUCCAUCUUUAUUCCCCUAGAGCCUUCCAGCAGUUCCUAAACCGCUCCAGUCGGAGCACAUUAUCAUUAUUGUUAGUUCUGAGUGAAUUCCCUCGGUAUGAUCAUUCUUUCAUCAGUUUGUUCCCCGUUUCUGCUCUAGUCUGAGCUUAACACACUAUUCUAGCUAGACAUGGGUGUGGCUCGUAACACCUGAUGACCAAACGGAUCUACGAUACCGUCGAAUCUCAAACUUUAACUACGAAAACUAUUGUUUUUCAUUCUAUAGUCCCUUUUAGAAUUACUAAACGUCCUUUUUUGGGCCGAGAUUUCCAGGAACGCUUUCUCGGGGUUUGUGUGCACGUAUUUCAAACAAUACGGACCUAAAAAUUAGAAUUCAUUCCAUCUUUAUUCCCCUAGAGCCUUCCGGCAGUUCCUAAACCGCUCAAGUCGGAGCACUUUAUCAUUCUUGUUAGUUCUCAGCGAAUUCCCUCGGUAUGAUCAUUCUUUCAUCAGUUUGUUCCCCAUUUCUUCUCUAGCCUGAGCCUAACACACUAUUCUAGCUACAAAUGGGUGUGGCUCGUCACACCCGAUGACCAAACGGAUCUACGGCACCGUUGAAUCUCAAACUUUAACUGCGAAAACUAUUGUUUUUCAUCCUGUAGUCCUUUUUAGAAUUACUAAACGUCCUUUUUUGGGACGAGAUUUCCGGGAACGCUUUCUCGAGGUUUGUGUGCGCGUAUUUCAAACCAUACGAACCUUAAAAUUAGAAUUCAUUCCAUCUUUAUUCCCCUAGAGCCUUCCAGCAGUUCCUAAACCGCUCCAGUCGGAGCACGUUAUCAUUCUUGUUAGUUCUGAGCGAAUUCCCUCGGUAUGAUCAUUCUUUCAUCAGUUUGUUCCUUGUUGCUUCUCUAGCCUGAGCCUGAUACACUAUUCUAGCUAGACAUGGGUGUGGCUCGUGACACCUGAUAACCAAACGGAUCUACAGCACCGUCGAAUCUCAAACUUUAACUACCAAAACUAUUGUUUUCAUUCUGUAGUCCCUUUUAAAUUACUAAACGUCAUUUUUUCGGCCGAGAUUUCCAGGAACGCUUUCUUGGGGUUUGUGUGCAUGUAUUUCAAAUCAUAAGGACCUAAAAAUUAGAAUCCAUUCCAUCUUUAUUUCCCUAGAGCCUUCCAGCAGUUCCUAAACCGCUCCAGUCAGAGCAUGUUAUCAUUAUUGUUAGUUCUGAGUGAAUUCCCUCGGUAUGAUCAUUAUUUCAUCAGUUUGUUCCCCGUUUCUUCUCUAGUCUGAGCCUAACACACUAUUCUAGCUAGACAUGGGUGUGGCUCGUAACACCCGAUGACCAAACGGAUCUACGGCACCGUCGAAUCUCAAACUUUAACUGCGAAAACUAUUGUUUUUCAUCCUUUAGUCCUUUUUAGAAUUACUAAACGUCCUUUUUUGGGACGAGAUUUCCAGGAACGCUUUCUCGGGGUUUGUGUGCGCGUAUUUAAAACCAUACGAACCUUAAAAUUAGAAUUCAUUCCAUCUUUAUUCCCCUAGAGCCUUCCAGUAGUUCCUAAACCGCUCCAGUCGGAGCACCUUAUCAUUCUUGUUAGUUCUGAGCAAAUUCCCUCGGUAUGAUCAUUCUUUCAUCAGUUUGAUCCCCGUUUCUUCUCUAGUCUGAGCCUAGCACACUAUUCUAGCUAUUAAUGGGUGUGGAUCGUAACACCUAAUGACCAAACGGAUCUACGUCACCAUCGAAUCUCAAACUUUAACUACCAAAACUAUUGUUUUUCAUCCUGUAGUCCCUUAAAAUUAGAAUUCAUUCCAUCUUUAUUCCCCUAGAGCCUUCCAGUAGUUCCUAAACCGCUCCAGUCGGAGCACAUUAUCAUUCUUGUUUGUUCUAAGCGAAUUCCCUCAGUAUGAUCAUUCUUUCAUCAUUUUGUUCCCGGUUUCUUCUCUAGUCUGAGUCUAGCACACUAUUCUAGCUAGACAUGGGUGUGGCUCGUAACACCUGAUGACCAAACGGAUCUACGGCAUCGUCGAAUCUCAAACUUUAAUUGCCAAAACUAUUGUUUUUCAUCCUGUAGUCUCUUUUAAAUUUACUAAACGUCCUUUUUUGGGCUGAGAUUUCCUGGAACGCUUUCGUGCGGUUUGUGUGCAAGUAUUUCAAAUCAUACGGACCUAUAAAUUAGAAGUCAUUUCAUCUUUAUUCCCCUAGAGCCUUUGAGCGGUUCCUAAACCGCUCUAGUCGGAGCAUGUUAUCAUUCUUGUUAGUUCUGAGUGAAUUCCCUCGGUAUGAUAAUUCUUUCAUCAGUUUGUUCCCCGUUUCUUCUCUAGUCUGAGCCUAGCACACUACUCUAGCUAGACAUGGGUUUGGCUCGUAACACCUGAUAACCAAACGGGUCUACGACACCAUCGAAUCUCAAACUUUUUUGGGCCGAGAUUUCCAGGAACGCUUUCUCGGGGUUUGUGUGCACGUAUUUCAAAUCAUGCGGACCUAAAAAUUAGAAGUCAUUCCAUAUUUAUUCCCCUAGAGCCUUCCAGCAGUUCCUAAACCGCUCCAGUCCGAGCAUGUUAUCAUUCUUGUUAGUUCUCAGGGAAUUCCCUCGGUAUGAUCAUUCUUUCAUCAGUUUGUUCCCCGUUUUUUCUCUAGCCUGAGCCUAACACACUAUUCUAGCUACACAUGGGUGUCGCUCGUAACACCUGAUGACCGAACAGAUCUACGGCACCAUCGAAUCUCAAACUUUAACUGCCAAAACUAUUGUUUUUCAUCCUGUAGUCCCUUUUAGAAUUACUAAACGUCUUUUUUUGGGCCGAGAUUUCCAGGAACGCUUUCUCGGGGUUUGUGUGGACGUAUUUCAAACCAUACGGACCUAAAAAUUAGAAGUCAUUCCAUCUUUAUUCCCCUAGAGCUUUCCAGCAGUUGCUAAACUGCUCUAGUCGGAGCAUGUUAUCAUUCUUGUUAGUUCUGAGUGAAUUCCCUCGGUAUGAUCAUUCUUUCAUCAGUUUGUUCCCCGUUUCUUCUCUAGUCUGAGCCUAGCACACUAUUCUAGAUAGACAUGGGUGUGGGUCAUAACACCUAAUGACCAAACGGAUCUACGGCACCCUCGAAUCUCAAACUUUAACUGCCAAAACUAUUGUUUUUCAUCUUGUAGUCCCUUUUAGAAUUACUAAACGUCCUUUUUUGGGUCGAGAUUUCCAGGAACGCUUUCUCGGGAUUUGUGUGCAUGUAUUUCAAACCAAAUGUUCCUACAAAUUAGAAGUCAUUCCAUAUUUAUUCCCCUAGAGCCUGCCAGCAGUUCCUAAACACCUCUAGUCGGAGCACGUUAUCAUUCUUGUUAGUUCUGAGCGAAUUCCCUCGGUAUGAUCAUUCUUUCAUCAGUUUGUUCUGCGUUUCUUCUCUAGUCUGAGCCUAGCACAUUAUUCUAGCUAUUAAUGGGUGUGGAUCGUAACACCUAAUGACCAAACGGAUCUACGGCACCAUCGAAUCACAAACUUUAACUGCCAAAACUAUUGUUUUUCAUCCUGUAGUCCCUUUUUGAAUUAUUAAACGUCCUUUUUUGGGCCAAGAUUUCCAGGAAUGCUUUCUCGGGGUUUGUGUGCAUGUAUUUCAAAUCAUACGGACCUAAAAAUUAGAAGGCAUUCCAUCUUUAUUCCCCUAGAGCCUUCCAGCAGUUCCUAAACCGCUCCAGUCGGAGCAUGUUAUCAUUCUUGUUAGUUCUGAGCGAAUUCCCUUGGUAUGAUCAUUCUUUCAUCAGUUUGUUCCCUGUUUCUUCUCUAGCCUGAGCCUGACACACUAUUCUAGCUAGACAUGGGUGUGGCUCGUGACACCUAAUGACCAAACGGAUCUACGGCACCGUCGAAUCUCAAACUUUAACUACCGAAACUAUUGUUUUUCAUUCUAUAGUCCCUUUUAAAUUACUAAACGUCAUUUUUUGGGCCGUGAUUUCCAGGAACGCUUUCUCGGGGUUUGUGUGCAUGUAUUUCAAGUCAUACGGACCUAAAAAUUAGAAUCCAUUCCAUAUUUAUUCCCCUAGAGCCUUCCAGCAGUUCCUAAACCGCUCCAAUUGGAGCACGUUAUCAUUAUUGUUAGUUCUGAGUGAAUUCCCUCGGUAUGAUCAUUCUUUCAUCAGUUUGUUCCCCAUUUCUUCUCUAGUCUGAGCCUAACACACUAUUCUAGCUAGACAUGGGUGUGGGUCGUAACACCUGAUGACCAAAAGGAUCUACGGCACCGUCGAAUCUCAAACUUUAACUACGAAAACUAUUGUUUUUCAUUCUAUAGUCCCUUUUAGAAUUACUAAACGUCCUUUUUUGGGCCGAGACUUCCAGGAACGCUUUCUCGGGGUUUGUGUGCGCGUAUUUCAAACAAUACAGACCUAAAUAUUAGAAUUCAUUCCAUCUUUAUUCCCCUAGAGCCUUCCAGCAGUUCCUAAACUGCUCCAGUCGGAGCACGUUAUCAUUCUUGUUAGUUCUCAGGGAAUUCCCUCGGUAUGAUCAUUCUUUCAUCAGUUUGUUCCCCGUUUCUUCUCUAGCCCGAGCCUAACACACUAUUCUAGCUACACAUGGGUGUGGCUCAUAACACCUGAUGACCAAACGGAUCUACGGCACCGUCGAAUCUCAAACUUUAACUGCCAAAACUAUUGUUUUUCAUCCUGUAGUCCCUUGUAGAAUUACUAAACGUCCUUUUUUGGGCCGAGAUUUCGAGGAACGCUUUGUCGGGGUCUGUGUGCAUGUAUUUCAAACCAUACGGACCUAAAAAUUAGAAUUCAUUCUAUCUUUGUUCCCCUAGAGCCUUCCAGCAGUUCCUAAACCGCUCUAGUCAGAGCAUGUUAUCAUUCUUGUUAGUUCUGAGCGAAUUCCCUCGGUAUGAUCAUUCUUUCAUCAGUUUGUUCCCUAUUUCUUCUCUAGCCUGAGCCUGACACACUAUUCUAGCUAGACAUGGGUGUGGCUCGUGACACCUGAUGACCAAACGGAUCUACGACACCGUCGAAUCUCAAACUUUAACUACUAAAACUAUUGUUUUUCAUUCUAUAGUCCCUUUUAAAUUACUAAACGUCAUUUUUUUGUUCGAGAUUUGCAGGAACGCUUUCUUGGGGUUUGUGUGCAUGUAUUUCAAAUCAUACGGACCUAAAAAUUAGAAUCCAUUCCAUCUUUAUUCCCCUAGAGCCUUCCAGCAGUUCGUUAACCGCUCCAGUCGGAGCACGUUAUCAUUAUUGUUAGUUCUGAGUGAAUUCCCUCGGUAUGAUCAUUCUUUGAUCAGUUUGUUCCUCGUUUCUUCUCUAGUCUAAGCCUAACACACUAUUCUAGCUAGACAUGGGUGUGGCUCGUAACACCCGAUGACCAAACGGAUCUACGGCACCGUCGAAUCUCAAACUUUAACUGCGAAAACUAUUGUUUUUCAUCCCGUAGUCCUUUUUAGAAUUACUAAACAUCCUUUUUUGGGACGAGAUUUCCAGGAACGCUUUCUCGGGGUUUGUGUGCGCGUGUUUCAAACCAUACGGACCUUAAAAUUAGAAUUCAUUCCAUCUUUAUUCCCCUAGAGCCUUCCAGCAGUUCCUAAACCGCUCCAGUCGGAGCACGUUAUCAUUCUUGUUAGUUCUGAGCAAAUUCCCUCGGUAUGAUCAUUCUUUCAUCAGUUUGUUCCCUGUUUCUUCUCUAGUAUGAGCCUAGCACACUAUUCUAGCUAUUAAUGGGUGUGUAUCGUGACACCUAAUGACCAAACGGAUCUACGGCACCAUCGAAUAUCAAACUUUAACUGCCAAAACUAUUGUUUUUCAUACUGUAGUCCCUUUUACAAUUAUUGAACGUCCCUUUUUGGGCCGAUAUUUCUAGGAACGCUUUCUCGGGGUUUGUGUGCAUGUAUUUCAAACCAAACGUUCCUUAAAAUUUGAAAGCAUUCCAUGUUUAUUCCCCUAGAGCCUUCCAGCAGUUCCUAAACCGCUCCAGUCGGAGCACGUUAUCAUUCUUGUCAGUUCUGAGCGAAUUCCCUCGGUAUGAUCAUUUUUUCAUCAGUUUGUUCCCUAUUUCUUCACUAGUCUGAGCCUCGCACACUAUUCUAGCUAUUAAUGGGUGUGGAUCGUAACACCUGAUGACCAAACGGAUCUACGGCACCGUCGAAUCUCAAACUUUAAUUGCCAAAACUAUUGUUUUUCAUUCUGUAGUCCCUUUUAAAUUACUAAACGUCAUUUUUUGGGCUGAGAUAUCCAACAACGCUUUCUCGGGGUUUGUGUGCAUGUAUUUCAAACCAAACGUUCCUAAAAAUUAGAAGUCAUUCCAUCUUUAUUCCCCUAGAGCCUUCCAGCAGUUCCUAAACAGCUCUAGACGGAGCACGUUAUCAUUCUUGUUAGUUCUGAGCGAAUUCCCUCGGUAUGAUCAUUCUUUCAUCAGUUUGUUCUGCAUUCUUCUCUAGUCUGAGCCUCGCACACUAUUCUAGCUAUCAAUGGGUGUGGAUCAUAACACUAAUGACCAAACGGAUCUACGACACCAUCGAAUCUCAAACUUUAACAGCCAAAACUAUUGUUUUUCAUCCUGUAGUCCCUUUUAGAAUUACUAAACGUCCUUUUUUGGGCCGAGAUUUCCAGGAACGCUUUCUCGGGGUUUGUGUGCAUGUAUUUCAAACCAUAUGGACCUAAAAAUUAGAAGUCAUUCCAUCUUUAUUCCCCUAGAGCCUUCCAGCAGUUCCUAAACUGCUCUAGUCGGAGCAUGUUAUCAUUCUUGUUAGUUCUGAGUGAAUUCCCUCGGUAUGAUCAUUCUUUCAUCAGUUUGUUCCCCAUUUCUUCGCUAGUCUGAGCCUAGCACACUAUUCUAGAUAGACAUGGGUGUGGGUCUUAACACCUGAUGACCAAACGGAUCUACGGCACCCUCGAAUCUGAAACUUUAACUGCCAAAACUAUUGUUUUUCAUCUUGUAGUCCCUUUUAGAAUUACUAAACGUCCUUUUUUGGGACGAGAUUUCCAGAAUGCUUUCUCGGGGUUUGUGUGCAUGUAUUUCAAACCAAACGUUCCUAAAAAUUAAAAGUCAUUCCAUCUUUAUUCCCCUAGAGCCUUCCAGCAGUUCCUAAACAGCUCUAGUCGGAGCAUGUUAUCAUUCUUGUUAGUUCUGAGUGAAUUCCCUCGGUAUGAUCAUUCUUUCAUCAGUUUGUUCCCCGUUUCUUCUCUAGUCUGAGCCUAGCACACUACUCUAGCUAGACAUGGGUUUGGCUCGUAACACCUGAUAACCAAACGGGUCUACGACACCAUCGAAUCUCAAACUUUUUUGGGCCGAGAUUUCCAGGAACGCUUUCUCGNNNNNNNNNNUCGCUAGCCUAAGCCUGACACACUAUUCUAGCUACACAUGGGUGUGGCUCGUGACACCUAAUGACCAAACAGAUCUACGGCACCGUCGAAUCUCAAACUUUAACUACCAAAACUAUUGUUUUUCAUUCUGUAGUCCCUUUUAAAUUACUAAACGUCAUUUUUUGGGCCGAGAUUUCUAGGAACGCUUUCUCAGGGUUUGUGUGCAUGUAUUUCAAGUCAUAUGGACCUAAAAAUUAGAAUCCAUUCCAUCUUUAUUCCCCUAGAGCCUUCCAGCAGUUCCUAAACCGCUCCAGUCGGAGCACAUUAUCAUUAUUGUUAGUUCUGAGUGAAUUCCCUCGGUAUGAUCAUUCUUUCAUCAGUUUGUUCCCCGUUUCUGCUCUAGUCUGAGCUUAACACACUAUUCUAGCUAGACAUGGGUGUGGCUCGUAACACCUGAUGACCAAACGGAUCUACGAUACCGUCGAAUCUCAAACUUUAACUACGAAAACUAUUGUUUUUCAUUCUAUAGUCCCUUUUAGAAUUACUAAACGUCCUUUUUUGGGCCGAGAUUUCCAGGAACGCUUUCUCGGGGUUUGUGUGCACGUAUUUCAAACAAUACGGACCUAAAAAUUAGAAUUCAUUCCAUCUUUAUUCCCCUAGAGCCUUCCGGCAGUUCCUAAACCGCUCAAGUCGGAGCACUUUAUCAUUCUUGUUAGUUCUCAGCGAAUUCCCUCGGUAUGAUCAUUCUUUCAUCAGUUUGUUCCCCAUUUCUUCUCUAGCCUGAGCCUAACACACUAUUCUAGCUACAAAUGGGUGUGGCUCGUCACACCCGAUGACCAAACGGAUCUACGGCACCGUUGAAUCUCAAACUUUAACUGCGAAAACUAUUGUUUUUCAUCCUGUAGUCCUUUUUAGAAUUACUAAACGUCCUUUUUUGGGACGAGAUUUCCGGGAACGCUUUCUCGAGGUUUGUGUGCGCGUAUUUCAAACCAUACGAACCUUAAAAUUAGAAUUCAUUCCAUCUUUAUUCCCCUAGAGCCUUCCAGCAGUUCCUAAACCGCUCCAGUCGGAGCACGUUAUCAUUCUUGUUAGUUCUGAGCGAAUUCCCUCGGUAUGAUCAUUCUUUCAUCAGUUUGUUCCUUGUUGCUUCUCUAGCCUGAGCCUGAUACACUAUUCUAGCUAGACAUGGGUGUGGCUCGUGACACCUGAUAACCAAACGGAUCUACAGCACCGUCGAAUCUCAAACUUUAACUACCAAAACUAUUGUUUUCAUUCUGUAGUCCCUUUUAAAUUACUAAACGUCAUUUUUUCGGCCGAGAUUUCCAGGAACGCUUUCUUGGGGUUUGUGUGCAUGUAUUUCAAAUCAUAAGGACCUAAAAAUUAGAAUCCAUUCCAUCUUUAUUUCCCUAGAGCCUUCCAGCAGUUCCUAAACCGCUCCAGUCAGAGCAUGUUAUCAUUAUUGUUAGUUCUGAGUGAAUUCCCUCGGUAUGAUCAUUAUUUCAUCAGUUUGUUCCCCGUUUCUUCUCUAGUCUGAGCCUAACACACUAUUCUAGCUAGACAUGGGUGUGGCUCGUAACACCCGAUGACCAAACGGAUCUACGGCACCGUCGAAUCUCAAACUUUAACUGCGAAAACUAUUGUUUUUCAUCCUUUAGUCCUUUUUAGAAUUACUAAACGUCCUUUUUUGGGACGAGAUUUCCAGGAACGCUUUCUCGGGGUUUGUGUGCGCGUAUUUAAAACCAUACGAACCUUAAAAUUAGAAUUCAUUCCAUCUUUAUUCCCCUAGAGCCUUCCAGUAGUUCCUAAACCGCUCCAGUCGGAGCACCUUAUCAUUCUUGUUAGUUCUGAGCAAAUUCCCUCGGUAUGAUCAUUCUUUCAUCAGUUUGAUCCCCGUUUCUUCUCUAGUCUGAGCCUAGCACACUAUUCUAGCUAUUAAUGGGUGUGGAUCGUAACACCUAAUGACCAAACGGAUCUACGUCACCAUCGAAUCUCAAACUUUAACUACCAAAACUAUUGUUUUUCAUCCUGUAGUCCCUUAAAAUUAGAAUUCAUUCCAUCUUUAUUCCCCUAGAGCCUUCCAGUAGUUCCUAAACCGCUCCAGUCGGAGCACAUUAUCAUUCUUGUUUGUUCUAAGCGAAUUCCCUCAGUAUGAUCAUUCUUUCAUCAUUUUGUUCCCGGUUUCUUCUCUAGUCUGAGUCUAGCACACUAUUCUAGCUAGACAUGGGUGUGGCUCGUAACACCUGAUGACCAAACGGAUCUACGGCAUCGUCGAAUCUCAAACUUUAAUUGCCAAAACUAUUGUUUUUCAUCCUGUAGUCUCUUUUAAAUUUACUAAACGUCCUUUUUUGGGCUGAGAUUUCCUGGAACGCUUUCGUGCGGUUUGUGUGCAAGUAUUUCAAAUCAUACGGACCUAUAAAUUAGAAGUCAUUUCAUCUUUAUUCCCCUAGAGCCUUUGAGCGGUUCCUAAACCGCUCUAGUCGGAGCAUGUUAUCAUUCUUGUUAGUUCUGAGUGAAUUCCCUCGGUAUGAUAAUUCUUUCAUCAGUUUGUUCCCCGUUUCUUCUCUAGUCUGAGCCUAGCACACUACUCUAGCUAGACAUGGGUUUGGCUCGUAACACCUGAUAACCAAACGGGUCUACGACACCAUCGAAUCUCAAACUUUUUUGGGCCGAGAUUUCCAGGAACGCUUUCUCGGGGUUUGUGUGCACGUAUUUCAAAUCAUGCGGACCUAAAAAUUAGAAGUCAUUCCAUAUUUAUUCCCCUAGAGCCUUCCAGCAGUUCCUAAAUCGCUCUAGUCCGAGCAUGUUAUCAUUCUUGUUAGUUCUGAGCGAAUUCCCUCGCUAUGAUCAUUCUUUCAUCAGUUUGUUCUGCGUUUCUUCUCUAGUCUGAGCCUAGCACACUAUUCUAGCUAUUAAUGGGUGUGGAUCGUAACACAUAAUGACCAAACGGAUCUACGGUACCUUCGAAUCUCAAACUUUAACUGCCAAAACUAUUGUUUUUCAUCCUGUAGUCCCUUUUCGAAUUAUUAAACGUCCUCUUUUGGGCCGAGAUUUCUAGGAACGCUUUCUAGGGGUUGGUGUGCAUGUAUUUCAAAUCAUACGGACCUAAAAAUUAGAAGGCAUUUCAUCUUUAUUCCCCUAGAGCCUUCCAACAGUUCCUAAGCCGCUCCAGUCGGAGCAUGUUAUCAUUCUUGUUAGUUCUGAGCGAAUUCCCUCGGUAUGAUCAUUCUUUCAUUAGUUUGUUCCCUAUUUCUUCUCUAGCCUUAGCCUGACACACUAUUCUAGCUAGAAAUGGGUGUGUCUCGUGACACCUAAUGACCAAACGGAUCUACGGCACCGUCGAAUCUCAAACUUUAACUACCAAAACUAUUAUUUUUCAUUCUGUAGUCCCUUUGAAAUUACUAAAUGUCAUUUUUUGGGCCGAGAUUUCCAGGAACGCUUUCUCGGGGUUUGUGUGCAUGUAUUUCAAGUCAUACGGACCUAAAAAUUAAAAUCCAUUCCAUCUUUAUUCCCCUAGAGCCUUCCAGCAGUUCCUAAACCGCUCCAGUCGGAGCAUGUUAUCAUUAUUGUUAGUGCUGAGUGAAUUCCCUCGGUAUGAUCAUUCUUUCAUCAGUUUGGUCCCUGUUUCUUCUCUAGUCUGAGCCUAACACACUAUUCUAGCUAGACAUGGGUGUGGCUCGUAACACCUGAUGACCAAACGGAUCUACGGCACCGUCGAAUCUCAAACUUUAACGACGAAAACUAUUGUUUUUCAUUCUAUAAUCCCUUUUAGAAUUACUAAACGUCCUUUUUUGGGACGAGAUUUCCAGGAACGCUUUCUCCGGGUUUGUGUGUGAGUAUUUCAAACAAUACGGACCUAAAAAUUUGAAUUCAUUCCAUCUUUAUUGCCCUAGAGCCUUCCAGCAGUUCCGAAACCGCUCCAGUCGGAGCACGUUAUCAUUCUUGUUAGUUCUCAGGGAAUUCCCUUGGUAUGAUCAUUCUUUCAUCAGUUUGUUCCCCGUUUCUUCUCUAGCCUGAGCCUAACACACUAUUCUAGCUACACAUGGGUGUGGCUCCUAACACCUGAUGACCAAACGGAUCUAUGGCACCGUCGAAUCUCAAACUUUAACUGCCAAAACUAUUGUUUUUCAUCCUGUAGUCCCUUGUAGAAUUACUAAACGUCCUUUUUUGGGUCUAGAUUUCGAGGAACACUUUGCCGGGGUUUGUGUGCACGUAUUUCAAACCAUACGGACCUAAAAGUUAGAAGUCAUUCAGUCUUUGUUCCCCUAGAGCCUUCCAGCAGUUCCUAAACCGCUCCAGUCGGAGCAUGUGAUCGUUCUUGUUAGUUCUGAGCGAAUUCCCUCGUUAUGAUCAUUCUUUCAUCAGUUUGUUCCCUGUUUCUUCUCUAUCCUGAGCCUGACACACUAUUCUAGCUAGACAUGGGUGUGGCUCGUGACACCUGAUGACCAAACGGAUCUACGGCACCGUCGAAUCUCAAACUUUAACUACCAAAACUAUUGUUUUUCAUUCUGUAGUCCCUUUUAAAUUACUAAACAUCAUUUUUUGGACAGAGAUUUCGAGGAAUGCUUUCUCGGGGUUUGUGUGCAUGUAUUUCAAAUCAUACGGGCCUAAAAAUUAGAAUCCAUUCCAUCUUUAUUCCCCUGGAGCCUUCCAGCAGUUCCUAAACCGCUCCAGUCGGAGCAUGUUAUCAUUAUUGUUAGUUCUGAGUGAAUUCCCUCGGUAUGAUCAUUCUUUCAUCAGUUUGCUCCCCGUUUCUUCUCUAGUCUGAGCCUAACACACUAUUCUAGCUAGACAUGGGUGUGGCUCGUAACACCUGAUGACCAAACGGAUCUACGGCACCCUCGAAUCUCAAACUUUAACUGCCAAAACUAUUGUUUUUCAUCUUGUAGUCCCUUUUAGAAUUACUAAACAUCCUUUUUUGGGCCGAGAUUUCCAGGAACGCUUUCUCGGGGUUUGUGUGCAUGUAUUUCAAACCAAACGUUCCUAAAAAUUAGAAGGCAUUCCAUCUUUAUUCCCCUAGAGCCUUCCAGAAGUUCCUAAACAGCUCUAGUCGGAGCAUGUUAUCAUUCUUGUUAUUUCUGAGUGAAUUCCCUCGGUAUGAUCAUUCUUUCAUCAGCAUCAGUUUGUUUUGCGUUUCUUCUCUAGUCUGAGCCUAGCACACUAUUCUAGCUAUUAAUGGGUGUGGAUCGUAACACCUAAUGACCAAACGGAUCUACGGCACCAUCGAAUCUCAAACUUUAACUGCCAAAACUAUUGUUUUUCAUCCUGUAGUCCCUUUCCGAAUUAUUAAACGUUCUUUUUUGGGCCGAGAUUUCCAGGAACGCUUUCUCGGAGUUUGUGUGCAUGUAUUUCAAAUCAUACGGACCUAAAAAUUAGAAGGCGUUCCAUCUUUAUUCCCCUAGAGCCUUCCAGCAGUUCCUAAACCGCUCCAGUCGGAGCAUGUUAUCAUUCUUGUUAGUUCUGAGCGAAUUCCCUCGGUAUGAUCAUUCUUUCAUUAGUUUGUUCCCUGUUUCUUCGCUAGCCUGAGCCCGACAUACUAUUCUAGCUAGACAUGGGUGUGGCUCGUGACACCUAAUAACCAAACGGAUCUACGGCACCGUCGAAUCUCAAACUUUAACUGCAAAAACUAUUGUUUUUCAUUCUGUAGUCCCUUUUCAAUUACUAAACAUCCUUUUUUGGGCCGAGAUUUCCAGGAACGCUUUCUCGGGGUUUGUGUGCAUGUAUUUCAAGUCAUACAGACCUAAAAAUUAGAAUCCAUUCCAUCUUUAUUCCCCUAGAGCCUUCCAGCAGUUCCUAAACCGCUCCAGUCGGAGCACGUUAUCAUUAUUGUUAGUUCUGAGUGAAUUCCCUCGGUAUUAUCAUUCUUUCAUCAGUAUGUUCCCCGUUUCUUCUCUAGUCUGAGCCUAACACACUAGUCUAGCUAGACAUGGGUGUGGCUCGUAACACCUGAUGACCAAACGGAUCUACGGCACCAUCGAAUCUCAAACUUUAACUACGAAAACUAUUGUUUUUCAUUCUAUAGUCCCUUUUAGAAUUACUAAACGUCCUUUUUUGGCCCGAGAUUUCCAGGAACGCUUUCUCGGGGUUUGUGUGCGCGUAUUUCAAACAAUACGGACCUAAAAAUUAGAAUUCAUUCCAUCUUUAUUCCCCUAGAGCCCUCCAGUAGUUCCUAAACCGCUCCAGUCGGAGCACGUUAUCAUUCUUGUUAGUUCUGAGGGAAUUCCCUCGGUAUGAUCAUUCUUUCAUCAGUUUGUUCCCUGUUUCUUCUCUAGCCUGAGCCUAACACACUAUUCUAGCUACACAUGGGUGUGGCUCCUAACACCUGAUGACCAAACGGAUAUACGGCACCGUCGAAUCUCAAACUUUAACUGCCAAAACUAUUGUUUUUCAUCCUGUAGUCCCUUGUAGAAUUACUAAACAUCCUUUUUGGGCCGUGAUUUCGAGGAAUGCUUUGUCGGGUUUGUGUGCACGUAUUUCAAACCAUACGGACCAAAAAAUUAUAAGUCAUUCCAUCUUUGUUCCCCUAGAGCCUUCCAUCAGUUCCUAAACCGCUCCAGUCGGAGUAUGUUAUCAUUCUUGUUAGUUCUGAGCGAAUUCCCUCGGUAUGAUCAUGCUUUCAUCAGUUUGUUCCCUGUUUCUUCUCUAGCCUGAGCCUGACACACUAUUCUAGCUAGACAUGGGUGUGGCUCGUGAGACCUGAUGACCUAACGGAUCUACGGCACCGUCGAAUCUCAAACUUUAACUACCAAACCUAUUGUUUUUCAUUCUGUAGUCCCUUUUAAAUUACUAAACGUCAUUUUUUUGGCCGAGAUUUCCAGGAACGCUUUCUUGGGGUUUGUGUGCAUGUAUUUCAAAUCAUACGGACCUAAAAAUUAGAAUCCAUUCCAUCUUUAUUCCCCUAGAGCCUUCCAGCAGUUCCUAAACCGCUCCAGUCGGAGCACGUUAUCAUUAUUGUUAGUUCUGAGUGAAUUCCCUCGGUAUGAUCAUUCUUUCAUCAGUUUGUUCCCCGUUUCUUCUCUAGUCUGAGCCUAACACACUAUUCUAGCUAGACAUGGGUGUGGCUCGUAACACCCGAUGACCAAACGAAUCUAUGGCACCGUCGAAUCUCAAACUGUAAGUGCCAAAACUAUUGUUUUUCAUCCUGUAGUCCCUUUUAGAAUUACUAAACGUCCUUUUUUGGGCAGAUAUUUCCAGGAACGCUUUAUCGGGGUUUGUGUGCGCGUAUUUCAAACCAUACGGACCUAAAAAUUAGAAGUCAUUCCAUCUUUAUUCCCCUAGAGCCUUCUAGCAGUUCCUAAACCGCUCCAGUCGGAGCACGUUAUCAUUCUUGUUAGUUCUGAGCAAAUUCCCUCGGUAUGAUCAUUCUUUCAUCAGUUUGUUCCCCGUUUCUUCUCUAGUCUGAGCCUAGCACACUAUUCUAGCUAUUAAUGGGUGUGGAUCGUAACACCUAAUGACCAAACGGAUCUACGGCACCAUCGAAUCUCAAAUUUAACUGCCAAAACUAUUGUUUUUCAUCCUGUAGUCCCUUUUACAAUUAUUAAACGUCCUUUUUUGGGCCGAGAUUUCCAGGAUCGCUUUCUCGGGGUUUGUGUGCAUGUAUUUCAGACCAAACGUUCCUAAAAAUUUGAAGGCAUUCCAUCUUUAUUCCCCUAGAGCCUUCCAGCGGUUCCUAAACCGCUCCAGUCGGAGCACGUUAUCAUUCUUGUUUGUUCUGAGCGAAUUCCCUCAGUAUGAUCAUUCUUUCAUCAUUUUGUUCCCGGUUUCUUCUCUAGUCUGAGUCUAGCACACUAUUCUAGCUAGACAUGGGUGUGGCUCGUAACACCUAAUGACCAAACGGAUCUACGGCACCGUCGAAUCUCAAACUUUAACUGCCAAAACUAUUGUUUUUCAUCCUGUAGUCCCUUUUAAAUUUACUAAACGUCCUUUUUUGGGCUGAGAUUUCCAGGAACGCUUUCGUGCGGUUUGUGUGCAAGUAUUUCAAAUCAUACGGACCUAUAAAUUAGAAGUCAUUUCAUCUUUAUUCCCCUAGAGCCUUCGAGCGGUUCCUAAACCGCUCCAGUCGGAGCAUGUUAUCAUUCUUGUUAGUUCUGAGUGAAUUCCCUCGGUAUGAUCAUUCUUUCAUCAGUUUGUUCCCCGUUUCUUCUCUAGUCUGAACCUAGCACACUACUCUAGCUAGACAUGGGUUUGGCUCGUAACACCUGAUAACCAAACGGGUCUACGACACCAUCGAAUCUCAAACUUUUUUGGGCCGAGAUUUCCAGGAACGCUUUCUCGGGGUUUGUGUGCACGUAUUUCAAAUCAUGCGGACCUAAAAAUUAGAAGUCAUUCCAUAUUUAUUCCCCUAGAGCCUUCCAGCAAUUCCUAAACCGCUCCAGUCGGAGCAUGUUAUCAUUCUUGCUAGUUCUCAGGGAAUUCCCUCGGUACGAUCAUUCUUUCAUUAGUUUGUUCCCCGUUUUUUCUCUAGCCUGAGCCUAACACACUAUUCUAGCUACACAUGGGUGUGGCUCGUAACACCUGAUGACCAAACGGAUCUAUGGCACCGUCGAAUCUCAAACUUUAACUGCCAAAACUAUUGUUUUUCAUCCUAUAGUCCCUUUUAGAAUUACUAAACGUCCUUUUUUGGGCCGAGAUUUCCAGGAACGCUUUCUCGGGGUUUGUGUGCACGUAUUUCAAACCAUACGGACCUAAAAAUUAGAAGUCAUUCCAUCUUUAUUCCCCUAGAGCCUUCCAGCAGUUCCUAAACUUCUCUAGUCGGAGCAUGUUAUCAUUCUUGUUAGUUCUGAGUGAAUUCCCUCGGUAUGAUCAUUCUUUCAUCAGUUUGUUCUUCGUUUCUUCUCUAGUCUGAGCCUAGCACACUAUUCUAGAUAGACAUGGGUGUGGGUCAUAACACCUGAUGACCAAACGGAUCUACGGCACCCUCGAAUCUCAAACUUUAACUGCCAAAACUAUUGUUUUUCAUCUUGUAGUCCCUUUUAGAAUUACUAAACGUCCUUUUUUGGGCCGAGAUUUCCAGGAACGCUUUCUCGGGGUUUGUGUGCAUAUAUUUCAAACCAAACGUUCCUAAAAAUUAGAAGUCAUUCCAUCUUUAUUCCCCUAGAGGCUUCCAGUAGUUCCUAAACAGCUCUAGUCGGAGCACGUUAUCAUUCUUGUUAGUUCUGAGCGAAUUCCCUCGGUAUGAUCAUUCUAUCAUCUGUUUGUUCCCUGUUUCUUCGCUAGCCUAAGCCUGACACACUAUUCUAGCUAGACAUGGGUGUGGCUCGUGACACCUAAUGACCAGACGGAUCUACGGCACCAUCGAAUCACAAACUUUAACUGCCAAAACUAUUGUUUUUCAUCCUGUAGUCCCUUUUUGAAUUAUUAAACGUCCUUUUUUGGGCCGAUAUUUCCAGGAACGCUUUCUAGGGGUUUGUGUGCAUGUAUUUCAAAUCAUACGGACCUAAAAAUUAGAAGGUAUUCCAUCUUUAUUCCCCUAGAGCCUUCCAGCAGUUCCUAAACCGCUCCAGUCGGAGCAUGUUAUCAUUCUUGUUAGUUCUGAGCGAAUUCCCUCGGUAUGAUCAUUCUUUCAUCAGUUUGUUCCCUGUUUCUUCUCUAGCCUGAGCCUGGCACACUAUUCUAGCUUGACAUGGGUGUGGCUCAUGACACCUAAUGACCAAACGGAUCUACGGCACCAUCAAAUCUCAAACUUUAGCUACCAAAACUAUUGUUUUUCAUUCUGUAGUCCCUUUUAAAUUACUAAACGUCAUUUUUGGGCCGAGAUUUCCAGGAACGCUUUCUCGGGAUUUGUGUGCUUGUAUUUCAAGUUAUACGGACCUAAAAAUUAGAAUCCAUUCCAUCUUUAUUCCCCUAGAGCCUUCCAGCAGUUCCUAAACCGCUCCAGUCGAAGCACGUUAUCAUUAUUGUUAGUUCUGAGUGAAUUCCCUCGGUACGAUCAUUCUUUCAUCAGUUUGUUCCCCGUUUCUUCUCUAGUCUGAGCCUAACACACUAUUCUAGCUAGACAUGGGUGUGGCUCGUAACACCUGAUGACCAAACGGAUCUAAGGCACCGUCGAAUCUCAAACUUUAACUACGAAAACUAUUGUUUUUCAUUCUAUAGUCCCUUUUAGAAUUACUAAACAUCCUUUUCUGGGACGAGAUUUCCAGGAAGGCUUUCUUGGGGUUUGUGUGCGUGUAUUUCAAACAAUACGGACCUGAAAAUUAGAAUUCAUUCCAUCUUUAUUCCCCUAGAGCCUUCCAGCAGUUCCUAAACCGCUACAGUCGGAGCACGUUAUCAUUCUUGUUAGUUCUGAGGGAAUUCCCUUAGUAUGAUCAUUCUUUCAUCAGUUUGUUCCCCGUUUCUUCUCUAGCCUGAGCCUAACACACUAUUUUAGCUACACAUGGGUGUGGCUCGUAACACCUGAUGACCAAACGGAUCUACGGCAUCGUCGAAUCUCAAACUUUAACUGCCAAAACUAUUGUUUUUCAUCCUGUAGUCCCUUGUAGAAUUACUAAACGUCCUUUUUUGGGCCGAGAUUUGGAGGAACACUUUGUCGAGGUUUGUGUGAACGUAUUUCAAACCAUACGGACCUAAAAAUUAGAAGUCAUUCCAUCUUUGUUCCCCUAGAGCCUUCCAGCAGUUCCUAAACCGCUCCAGUCGGAGCAUGUUAUCAUUCUUGUUAGUUCUGAGGGAAUUCCCUCGGUAUGAUCAUUCUUUCAUCAGUUUGUUCCCUGUUUCUUCUCUAGCCUGAGCCUGACACACUAUUCUAGCUAGACAUGGGUGUGGCUCGUGACACCUGGUGACCAAACGGAUCUACGGCACCGUCGAAUCUCAAACUUUAACUACGAAAACUAUUGUUUUUCAUCCUGUAGUCCUUUUUAGAAUUACUAAACGUCCUUUUUUGGGCCGAGAUUUCGAGGAACGCUUUGUCGGGGUUUGUGUGCGCGUAUUUCAAACCAUACGGACCUAAAAAUUAGAAGUCAUUCCAUCUUUAUUCCCCUAGAGCCUUCCAGUAGUUCCUAAACAGCUCUAGUCGGAGCACGUUAUCAUUCUUGUUAGUUCUGAGCGAAUUCCCUCGGUAUGAUCAUUCUUUCAUCAGUUUGUUCUGCGUUUCUUCUCUAGUCUGAGCCUAGCACACUAUUCUAGCUAUUAAUGGGUGUGGAUCGUAACACCUAAUGACCAAACGGAUCUACGACACCGUCGAAUGUCGGUAUGAUCAUUCUUUCAUCAGUUUGUUCCCUGUUUCUUCUCUAGCCUGAGCCUGACACACCAUUCUAGCUAGACAUGGGUGUGGCUCGUGACACCUGAUGACCAAACGGAUCUACGGCACCGUCGAAUCUCACGCUUUCUCGGGGUCUGUGUGCAUGUAUUUCAAAUCAUACGGACCUAAAAAUUAGAAUCCAUUCCAUCUUUAUUCCCCUAGAGCCUUCCAGCAGUUCCUAAACCGCUCCAGUCGGAGCACACUAUCAUUAUUGUUAGUUCUGAGUGAAUUCCCUCGGUAUGAUCAUUCUUUCAUCAGUUUGUUCCCCGUUUCUUCUCUAGUCUGAGCAUAACACACUAUUCUAGCUAGACACGGGUGUGGCUGUAACACCCGAUGACCAAACGGAUCUACGGCACCGUCGAAUCUCAAACUUUAACUACGAAAACUAUUGUUUUUCAUCCUGUAGUCCUUUUUAGAAUUACUAAACGUCCUUUUUUGGGACGAGAUUUCCAGGAACGCUUUCUCGGGGUUUGUGUGCGCGUAUUUCAAACCAUAUGAACCUUAAAAUUAGAAUUCAUUCCAUCUUUAUUCCCCUAGAGCCUUCCAGCAGUUCCUAAACCGCUCCAGUCGGAGCACGUUAUCAUUCUUGUUUGUUCUGAGCAAAUUCCCUCAGUAUGAUCAUUCUUUCAUCAUUUUGUUCCCGGUUUCUUCUCUAGUCUGAGUCUAGCACACUAUUCUAGCUAGACAUGGGUGUGGCUCAUAACACCUAAUGACCAAACGGAUCUACGGCACCAUCGAAUCUCAAACUUUAACUGCUAAAACUAUUGUAUUUCAUCCUUUAGUCCCUUAUCAUUCUUGUUAGUUCUGAGUGAAUUCCCUUGGUAUGAUCAUUCUUUCAUCAGUUUGUUCCCCGUUUCUUCUCUAGUCUGAGCCUAGCACACUAUUCUAGCUAGACAUGGGUGUGGCUCAUAACACCUUAUGACCAAACGGAUCUACGGCACCAUCGAAUCUCAAACUUUAACUGCCAAAACUAUUGUUUUUCAUCCUGUAGUCCCUUUUAGAAUUACUAAACGUCCUUUUUUGGGCAGAUAUUUCCAGGAACGCUUUAUCGGGGUUUGUGUGCACAUAUUUCAGACCAUACGGACCUAAAAAUUAGAAGUCAUUCCAUCUUUAUUCCCCUAUAGCCUUCCAGCAGUUCCUAAACCACUCCAGUCGGAGCACGUUAUCAUUCUUGUUAGUUCUGAGCGAAUUCCCUCGAUAUGAUCAUUCUUUCAUCAAUUUGUUCCCCGUUUCUUCUCUAGUCUAAGCCUAGCAAACUAGUCUAGCUAGACAUGGGUGUGGCUCGUAACACCUGAUGACCAAACGCAUCUAUGACAUCGUCAAAUCUCAAACUAUAACUGCCAAAACUAUUGUUUUUCAUCCUGUAGUCCCUUUUAGAAUACUAAACGUCCUUUUUUGGGCCGAGAUUUCCACGAUCGCUUUCUCGGGGUUUGUGUGCAUGUAUUUCAAACCAAACGUUCCUAAAAAUUUGAAGGCAUUCUAUCUUUAUUCCCCUAGAGCCUUCCAGCAGUUCCUAAACCGCUCCAGUCGGAGCACGUUAUCAUUCUUGUUUGUUCUGAGCGAAUUCCCUCAGUAUGAUCAUUCUUUCAUCAUUUUGUUCCCGGUUUCUUCUCUAGUCUGAGUCUAGCACACUAUUCUAGCUAGACAUGGGUGUGGCUCGUAACACCUAAUGACCAAACGGAUCUACGGCACCGUCGAAUCUCAAACUUUAACUGCUAAAACUAUUGUUUUUCAUCCUUUAGUCCCUUGUAGAAUUACUAAACGUCCUUUUUUGGGCCGAGAUUUCGAGGAACGCUUUGUCGGGGUUUGUGUGCACGUAUUUCAAACCAUACGGACCUAAAAAUUAGAAGUCAUUCCAUCUUUGUUCCCUUAGAGCCUUCCAGCAGUUCCUAAACCGCUCCAGUCGGAGCACGUUAUCAUUCUUGUUAGUUCUGAGCAAAUUCCCUCGGUAUGAUCAUUCUUUCAUCAGUUUGUUCCCUGUUUCUUCUCUAGUCUGAGCCUAGCACACUAUUCUAGCUAUUAAUGGGUGUGGAUCGUAACACCUGAUAACCAAACGGAUCUACGACACCGUCGAAUCUCAAACUUUAACUGCCAAAACUACUGUUUUUCAUUCCGUAGUCCCUUUUAAAUUACUAAACGUCAUUUUUUGGGCAGAGAUAUCCAGGAACGCUUUCUCGGGGUUUGUGUGCACGUAUUUCAAAUCAUACGGACCUAAAAAUUAGAAUCCAUACCAUCUUUAUUCCCCUGGAGCUUUCCAGCAGUUCCUAAACCGCUCCAGUCGGAGCACGUUAUCAUUAUUUUUAGUUCUGAGUGAAUUCCCAUGGUAUGAUCAUUUUCUCAUCAGUUUGUUCCCCGUUUCUUCUCUAGUCUGAGCCUAUCACACUAUUCUAGCUAGACAUGGGUGUGGCUCGUAACACCUGAUGACCAAACGGAUCUACGGCACCGUCGAAUCUCAAACUUCAACUGCCAAAACUAUUAUUUUUCAUCCUGUAGUCCCUUUUAGAAUUACUAAAUGUCCUUUUUUGGGCCGAGAUUUCCAGGAACGCUUUCUCGGGGUUUGUGUGCAUGUAUUUCAAACCAUACGGACCUAAAAAUUAGGUCAUUCCAUCUUUAUUCCCCUAGAGCCUUCCAGCAGUUCCUAAACCGCUCCAGUCGGAGCACGUUAUCAUUCUUGUUUGUUCUGAGCGAAUUCCCUCGAUAUGAUCAUUCUUUCAUCAGUUUGUCCCCCGUUUCUUCUCUAGCCUGAGCCUGACACACUAUUCUAGCUAGACAUGGGUGUGGCUCGUAACACCUAAUGACCAAACGGAUCUACGGCACCGUUGAAUCUCAAACUUUAACUGCCAAAACUAUUGUUUUUCAUUAUGUAGUCCCUUUUAAAUUACUAAACGUCAUUUUUUGGGCUGAGAUAUCCAGGAAAGCUUUCUCGGGGUUUGUGUGCACGUAUUUCAAAUCAUACGGACCUAAAAAUUAGAAGUCAUUCCAUAUUUAUUCCCCUAGAGCCUUCCAGAAAUUCCUAAACCGCUCCAGUUGGACCACGUUAUCAUUCUUGUUAGUUCUGAGUGAAUUACCUCAGUAUGAUCAUUCUUUCAUCAGUUUGUUCCCCGUUUCUUCUAUAGUCUGAGCCUAGCACACUACUCUAGCUAGACAUGGGUGUGGCUCGUAACACCUGAUGACCAAACAGAUCUACGACACCGUCAAAUCUCAAACUUUAACUGCCAAAACUAUUGUUUUUCAUCCUGUAGUCCCUUUUAGAAUUACUAAACGUCCUUUUUUGGGCUGAGAUUUCCAGGAACGCUUUCGCGGGGUUUGUGUGCACGUAUUUUAAACCAUACGGACCUAAAAAUUAGAAGUCAUUCCAUCUUUAUUCCCCUAGAGCCUAACACACUAUUAUAGCUAGACAUGGGUGUGGCUCGUAACACCUGAUGACCAAACGGAUCUACGGCACCAUCGAAUCUCAAACUUUAACUGCCAAAACUAUUGUAUUUCAUCAUGUAGUCCCUUUUAGAAUUAUUAAACGUCCUUUUUUUGGGCCGUGAUUUCCAUGAACGCUUUCUCGGGGUUUCUGUGCACGUAUUUCAAAUCAUACAGACCUAAAAAUUAGAAGGCAUUUCAUCUUUAUUCCCCUAGAGCCUUCCAGCAGUUCCUAAACCGCUCCAGUCGGACCAUGUUAUCAUUCUUGUUAGUUCUGAGUGAAUUCCCUCGAUAUGAUCAUUCUUUCAUCAGUUUGUUCCCCGUUUCUUCUCUAGUCUGAGCCUAGCUCACUAUUCUAGCUAGAUAUGGGUGUGGCUCAUAAUACCCGAUGACCAAACGGAUCUACGGCACCAUCGAAUCUCAAACUUUAGCUGCCAAAACUAUUGUUUUUCAUCCUGUAGUCCCUUUUAGAAUUACUAAACGUCCUUUUUUGGGCCGGGAUUUCCAGGAGCGCUUUCUCGGGGUUUGUGUGCACGUAUUUCAAACCAAGCGUUCCUAAAAAUUAGAAGUCAUUUGAUCUUUAUUCCCCUAGAGCCUUCCAGCAGUUCCUAAACCGCUCCAGUCGGCGCACGUUAUCAUUCUUGUUAGUUCUGAGCGAAUUCCCUCGGUAUGAUCAUUCUUUCAUCAGUUUGUUCCUCGUUUCUUCUCUAGUCUGAGCCUAGCACACUAUUCUAGCUAGACAUGGGUGUGGGUCAUAACACCUGAUGACCAAACCGAUCUACGGCACCAUCGAAUCUCAAACUUUAACUACCAAAACUAUUGUUUUUCAUCCUGUAGUCCCUUUUAGAAUUACCAAACGUCCUUUUUUGGGCCGAGAAUUCCAAGAAUGCUUUCUCGGGGUUUGUGUGCACAUAUUUCAAACCAAACAUUCCUAAAAAUUAGAAAUCAUUCCAUCUUUAUUCCCCAAGAGCCUUCCAGCAGUUCCUAAACAGCUCCACUCAGAGCACGUUGUCAUUCUUGUUAGUUCUGAGCGAAUUCCCUCGGUAUGAUCAUUCUUUCAUCAGUUUGUUCCCUGUUUCUUCUCUAGUCUGAGCCUCGCACACUAUUCUAGCUAUUAAUGGGUGUGGAUCGUAACUCCUGAUGACCAAACGGAUCUACGGCACCGUCGAAUCUCAAACUUUAACUGCCAAAACUACUGUUUUUCAUUCUGUAGUCCCUCUUAAAUUACUAAACGUCAUUUUUUGGGCUGAGAUAUCCAGGAACGCUUUCUCGGGGUUUGUGUGCACGUAUUUCAAAUCAUACGGACCUAAAAAUUAGAAGUCAUUCCAUCUUUAUUCCCCUAGAGCCUUCCAGCAGUUCCUAAACCACUCCAGUCGGAGCACGUUAUCAUUAUUGUUAGUUCCGAGUGAAUUCCCUUGGCAUGAUCUUUCUUUCAUCAGUUUGUUCCCCGUUUCUUCUCUAGUGUUAGCCUAUCACACUAUUCUAGCUAGACAUGGGUGUGGCUCGUAACACCUGAUGACCAAACGGAUCUACGGCACCGUCGAAUUUCAAACUUUAACUGCCAAAACUAUUGUUUUUCCUCCUGUAGUCCCUUUUAGAAUUACUAAAUGUCCUUUUUUGGGCCGAGAUUUCCAGGAAUGCUUUCUCGGGGUUUGUGUGCAUGUAUUUCAAACCAUACGGACCUAAAAAUUAGGUCAUUCCAUAUUUAUUCCCCUAGAGCCUUCCAGCAGUUCCUAAACAUCUCCAGUCGGAGCACGUUAUCAUUCUUGUUUGUUCUGAGCGAAUUCCCUCAGUAUGAUCAUUCUUUCAUCAUUUUGUGCCCUGUUUCUUCUCUAGUCUGAGCAUAGCACACUAUUCUAGCUAGACAUGGGUGUGGCUCGUAACACCUGAUGACCAAACGGAUGUACGACACCGUCGAAUCUCAAACUUUAACUGCCAAAACUAUUGUUUUUCAUCCUGUAGUCCCUUUUAAAUUUACUAAAUGUCCUUUUUGGGCUGAGAUUUCCAGGAACGCUUUCGUGCGGUUUGUGUGCAAGUAUUUCUAAUCAUACGGACCUAUAAAUUAGAAGUCAUUCCAUCUUUAUUCCCCUAGAGCCUUCGAGCAGUUCCUAAACCGCGCCAGCCGGAGCAUGUUAUCAUUCUUGUUAGUUCUGAGUGAAUUCCCUCGGUAUGAUCAUUCUUUCAUCAGUUUGUUCCCCGUUUCUUCUCUAGUCUGAGCCUAGCACACUACUCUAGCUAGACAUGGGUUUGGCUCGUAACACCUGAUAACCAAACAGGUCUACGACUCCAUCGAAUCUCAAACUUUUUUGGGCCGAGAUUUCCAGGAACGCUUUCUCGGGGUUUGUGUGCACGUAUUUCAAAUCAUGCGGACCUAAAAAUUAGAAGUCAUUCCAUAUUUAUUACCCUAGAGCCUUCCAGCAGUUCCUAAACCGCUCCAGUCGGAGCAUGUUAUCAUUCUCUUUAGUUCUCAGGGAAUUCCCUCGGUAUGAUCAUUCUUUCAUCAGUUUAUUCCCUGUUUUUUCUCUAGCAUGAGCCUAACACACUAUUCUAGCUACACAUGGGUGUGGCUCGUAACACCUGAUGACCAAACGGAUCUACGGCACCGUCGAAUCUCAAACUUUAACUGCCAAAACUAUUGUUUUCGUCCUGUAGUCCCUUUUAGAAUUACUAAACGUCCUUUUUUGGGCCGAGAUUUCCAGGAACGCUUUCUCGGGGUUUGUGUGCACGUAUUUCAAAUCAUACGGACCUAAAAAUUAGAAGUCAUUCCAUCUUUAUUCCCCUAGAGCCUUCCAGCAGUUCCUAAACAGCUCUAGUCGGAGCAAGUUAUCAUUCUUGUUAGUUCUGAGCGAAUUCCCUCGGUAUGAUCAUUCUUUCAUUAGUUUGUUCUGCGUUUCUUCUCUAGUCUGAGCCUAGCACACUAUUCUAGCUAUUAAUGGGUGUGGAUCGUAACACCUAAUGACCAACGGAUCUACGGCACCAUCGAAUCUCAAACUUUAACUGCCAAAACUAUUAUUUUUCAUCCUGUAGUCCCUUUAAAAAUUAUUAAAUGUCAUUUUUUGGGCCGAGAUUUCCAGGAACGCUUUCUCGGGGUUUGUGUGCAUGUAUUUCAAGUCAUACGGACCUAAAAAUUAGAAUCCAUUCCAUCUUUAUUCCCCUAGAGCCUUGCAGCAGUUCCUAAACCGCUCCAGUCGGAGCACGUUAUCAUUAUUGUUAGUUCUGAGUGAAUUCCCUCGGUAUGAUUAUUCUUUCAUCAGUUUGUUCCCCAUUUCUUCUCUAGUCUGAGCCUAACACACUAUUCUAGCUAGACAUGGGUGUGGCUCGUAAUACCUGAUGACCAAACGGAUCUACAGCACCGUCGAAUCUCAAACUUUAACUACGAAAACUAUUGUUUUUCAUUCUAUAGUCCCUUUCAGAAUUACUAAACGUCCUUUUUUGGGCCGAGAUUUCCAGGAACGCUUUCUCGGGGUUUGAGUGCGCGUAUCUAACAAUACAGACCUAAAGAUUAGAAUUCAUUCCAUCUUUAUUCCCCUAGAGCCUUCCAGCAGUUCCUAAACUGCUCCAGUCGGAGCACGUUAUCAUUCUUGUUAGUUCUCAGGGAAUUCCCUCGGUAUGAUCAUUCUUUCAUCAGUUUGUUCCCCGUUUCUUCUCUAGCAUGAGCCAAACACACUAUUCUAGCUACACAUGGGUGUGCCUCGUAACACCUGAUGACCAAACGGAUCUACGGCACCGUCGAAUCUCAAACUUUAACUGCCAAAAUUAUUGUUUUUCAUCUUGUAGUCCCUUGUAGAAUUACUAAACGUCCUUUUUUGGGCCGAGAUUUCGAGAAACACUUUGUCAGGGUUUGUUUGCACGUAUUUCAAACCAUACGGACCUAAAAAUUAGAAGUCAUUCCAUCUUUGUUCCCCUAGAGCCUUCCAGCAGUUCCUAAACCGCUCCAGUCGGAGCAUGUUAUCAUUCUUGUUAGUUCUGAGCAAAUUCCCUCGGUAAGAUCAUUCUUUCAUCAGUUUGUUCCCUGUUUCUUCUCUAGCCUGAGCCUGACACACUAUUCUAGCUAGACAUGGGCGUGGCUCGUGACACCUGAUGACCAAACGGAUCUACGGCACCGUCGAAUCUCAAACUUUAACUACCAAAACUAUUGUUUUUCAUUCUGUAGUCCCUUUUAAAUUACUAAACGUCAUUUUUUCGGCCGAGAUUUCCAGGAACGCUUUCUUGUGGUUUGUGUGCAUGUAUUUCAAAUCAUACGGACCUAAAAAUUGGAAUCCAUUCCAUCUUUAUUCCCCUAGAGCCUUCCAGCAGUUCCUAAUCCGCUCCAGUCGGAGCACGUUAUCAUUGUUGUUAGUUCUGAGUGAAUUCCCUCGGUAUGAUCAUUCUUUCAUCAGUUUGUUCCCUGUUUCUUCUCUAGUCUGAGCCUAACACACUAUUCUAGCUAGACAUGGGUGUGGCUCGUAACACCCGAUGACCAAACGGAUCUACGGCACCGUCGAAUCUCAAACUUUAACUGCGAAAACUAUUGUUUUUCAUCCUGUAGUCCUUUUUAGAAUUACUAAACGUCCUUUUUUGGGACGAGAUUUCCAGGAACGCUUUCUCGGGGUUUGUGUGCGCGUAUUUCAAACCAUACGAACCUUAAAAUUAGAAUUCAUUCCAUCUUUAUUCCCCUAGAGCCUUCCAGCAGUUCCUAAACCGCUCCAGUCGGAGCACGUUAUCAUUCUUGUUAGUUCUGAGCAAAUUCCCUCGGUAUGAUCAUUCUUUCAUCAGUUUGUUCCCCGUUUCUUCUCUAGUCUGAGCCUAGCACACUAUUCUAGCUAUUAGUGGGUGUGGAUCGUAACACCUAAUGACCAAACGGAUCUAUGGCACCAUCGAAUCUCAAACUUUAACUGCCAAAACUAUUGUUUUUCAUCCUGUAGUCCCUUUUACAAUUAUUAAACGUCCUUUUUUGGGCCGAGAUUUCCAGGAACGCUUUCUCGGGGUUUGUGUGCAUGUAUUUCAAACCAAACGUUCCUAAAAAUUUGAAGGCAUUCCAUCUUUAUUCCCCUAGAGCCUUCCAGCAGUUCCUAAACCGCUCCAGUCGGAGCACGUUACCAUUCUUGUUAGUUCUGAGCGAAUUCCCUCGGUAUGAUCAUUUUUUCAUCAGUUUUUUCCCUGUUUCUUCUCUAGUCUGAGCCUCGCACACUAUUCUAGCUAUUAAUGGGUGUGGAUCGUAACACCUGAUGACCAAACGGAUCUACGGCACCGUCGAAUCUCAAACUUUAACUGCCAAAACUACUGUUUUUCAUUCUGUAGUCCAUUUUAAAUUACUAAACGUCAUUUUUGGGGCCGAUAUUUCCAGGAACGCUUUCUCGGGGUUUGUGUGCACGUAUUUCAAAUCAUACGGACCUAAAAAUUAGAAGUCAUUCCAUCUUUAUUCCCCUAGAGCCUUCCAGCAGUUCCUAAACCACUCCAGUCGGAGCAUGUUAUCAUUAUUGUUAGUUCUGAGUGAAUUCCCUCGGUAUGAUCAUUCUUUCAUCAGUUUGUUCCCCGUUUCUUCUCUAGUCUGAGCCUAUCAUACUAUUCUAGCUAGACAUGGGUGUGGCUCGUAACAUCUGAUGACCAAACGGAUCUAUGGCACCGUCGAAUCUCAAACUUUAACUGCCAAAACUAUUGUUUUUCAUCCAGUAGUCCCUUUUAGAAUUACUAAAUGUCCUUUUUUGGGCCGAGAUUUCCAGGAACGCUUUCUCGGGGUUUGUGUGCAUGUAUUUAAAACCAUACGGACCUAAAAAUUAGGUCAUUCCAUCUUUAUUCCCCUAGAGCCUUCCAGCAGUUCCUAAACCGCUCCAGUCGGAGCACGUUAUCAUUCUUGUUUGUUCUGAGCGAAUUCCCUCAGUAUGAUCAUUUUUCAUCAUUUUGUUCCCCGUUUCUUCUCUAGUCUGAGCCUAGCACACUAUUCUAGCUAGACAUGGGUGUGGCUCGUAACACUUGAUGACCAAAGGAUCUACGGCACCGUCGAAUCUCAAACUUUAACUGCCAAAACUAUUGUUUUUCAUCGUGUAGUCCCUUUGAAAUUUACUAAACGUCCUUUUUUGGGCUGAGAUUUCCAGGAAAGCUUUCGUGCGGUUUGUGUGCAAGUAUUUCAAAUCAUACGGACCUAUAAAUUAGAAGUCAUUCCAUCUUUAUUCCCCUAGAGCCUUCGAGCGGUUCCUAAACCGCUCCAGUCGGAGCAUGUUAUCAUUCUUGUUAGUUCUGAGUGAAUUCCCUCGGUAUGAUCAUUCUUUCAUCAGUUUGUUCCCCGUUUCUUCUCUAGUCUGAGCCUAGCACACGACUCUAGCUAGACAUGGGUUUGGCUCGUAACACCUGAUAACCAAAUGGCUCUAUGACACCAUCGAAUCUCAAACUUCUUUGGGCUGAGAUUUCCAUGAACGCUUUCUCGGGGUUUGUGUGCACGUAUUUCNNNNNNNNNNNNNNNNNNNNNNNNNNNNNNNNNNNNNNNNNNNNNNNNNNNNNNNNNNNNNNNNNNNNNNNNNNNNNNNNNNNNNNNNNNNNNNNNNNNNNNNNNNNNNNNNNNNNNNNNNNNNNNNNNNNNNNNNNNNNNNNNNNNNNNNNNNNNNNNNNNNNNNNNNNNNNNNNNNNNNNNNNNNNNNNNNNNNNNNNNNNNNNNNNNNNNNNNNNNNNNNNNNNNNNNNNNNNNNNNNNNNNNNNNNNNNNNNNNNNNNNNNNNNNNNNNNNNNNNNNNNNNNNNNNNNNGUAUUUCAAAUCAUGCGGACCUAAAAAUUAGAAGUCAUUCCAUAUUUAUUCCCCUAGAGCCUUCCAGCAGUUCCUAAACUGCUCCAGUCGGAGCAUGUUAUCAUUCUUGUUUGUUCUCAGGGAAUUCCAUCGGUAUGAUCAUUCUUUCAUCAGUUUGUUCCCCGUUUUUUCUCUAGCCUGAGCCUAACACACUAUUCUAGCUACACAUGGGUGUGGCUCGUAACACCUGAUGACCAAACGGAUCUACGACACCGUCGAAUCUGAAACUUUAACUGCCAAAACUAUUGUUUUUCAUCCUGUAGUCCCUUUUAGAAUUAGUAAACGUCCUUUUUUGGGCCAAGAUUUCCAGGAACGCUUUCUCGGGGUUUGUGUGCACGUAUUUCAAAACAUACGGACCUAAAAAUUAGAAGUCAUUCCAUCUUUAUUCCCCUAGAGCCUUCCAGCAGUUCCUAAACUGCUCUAGUCGGAGCAUGUUAUCAUUCUUGUUAGUUCUGAGUGAAUUCCCUCGGUAUGAUCAUUCUUUCAUAAGUUUGUUCCCCAUUUCUUCUCUAGUCUGAGCCUAGCACACUAUUCUAGAUAGACAUGGGUGUGGGCCAUAACACCUGAUGACCAAACGGAUCUACGGCACCCUCGAAUCUCAAACUUUAACUGCCAAAACUAUUGUUUUUCAUCUUGUAGUCCCUUUUAGAAUUACUAAACGUCCUUUUUUGGGCCGAGAUUUCCAGGAACGCUUUCUCGGGGUUUGUGUGCAUGUAUUUCAAACCAAACGUUCCUAGAAAUUAGAAGUCAUUCCAUGUUUAUUCCCCUAGAGCCUUCCAGCAGUUCCUAAACAGCUCUAGUCGAAGCACGUUAUCAUUCUUGUUAGUUCUGAGCGAAUUCCCUCGGUAUGAUCAUUCUUUCAUCAGUUUGUUUUGCGUUUCUUCUCUAUUCUGAGCCUAGCAAACUAUACUAGCUAUUAAUGGGUGUGGAUCGUAACACCUAGUGACCAAACGGAUCUACGGCACCAUCGAAUCUCAAACUUUAACUGCCAAAACUAUUAAACGUCCUUUUUUGGGCCGAGAUUUCCAGGAACGCUUUCUCGGGGUUUGUGUGCAUGUAUUUCAAAUCAUACGGACCUAAAAAUUAGAAGGCAUUCCAUCUUUAUUCCCCUAGAGCCUUCCAGUAGUUCCUAAACCACCCCAGUCGGAGCACGUUAUCAUUCUUGUUAGUUCUGAGCGAAUUCCCUUGGUAUGAUCAUUCUUUCAUCAGUUUGUUCCCUGUUUCUUCUCUAGCCUGAGCCUGACACACUAUUCUAGCUAGACAUGGGUGUGGCUCGUGACACCUAAUGAGCAAACGGAUCUACGGCACCGUCGAAUCUCAAACUUUAACUACCAAAACUAUUGUUUUUCAUUCUGUAGUCCCUUUUAAAUUACUAAACAUCAUUUUUUGGGCCGAGAUUUCCAGGAACGCUUUCUCGGGGUUUGUGUGCAUGUAUUUCAAUUCAUACGGACCUAAAAAUUAGAGUCCAUUCCAUCUUUAUUCCCCUAGAGCCUUCCAACAGUUCCUAAACCGCUCCAGUCGGAGCACGUUAUCAUUAUUGUUAGUUCUGAGUGAAUUCCCUCGGUAUGAUCAUUCUUUCAUCAGUUUGUUCCCGUUUCUUCUCUAGUCUGAGCCUAACACACUAUUCUAGCUAGACAUGGGUGUGGCUCGUAACACCUGAUGACCAAACGGAUCUACGGCACCGUCGAAUCUCAAACAUUAACUACGAAAACUAUUGUUUUUCAUUCUAUAGUCCCUUUUAGAAUUACUAAGCGUCCUUUUUUGGGCUGAGAUUUCCAGGAACGCUUUCUCGGGGUUUGUGUGCACGUAUUUCAAACAAUACGGACCGAAAAAUUAGAAUUCAUUCCAUCUUUAUUCCCCUAGAGCCUUCUAGCAGUUCCUAAAUCGCUCCAGUCGGAGCACGUUAUCAUUCUUGUUAGUUCUCAGGGAAUUCCCUCGGUAUGAUCAUUCUUUCAUCAGUUUGUUCCCCGUUUCUUCUCUAGCCUGAGCCUAACACACUAUUCUAGCUACACAUGGGCAUGGCUCGUAACACCUGAUGACCAAAUGGAUCUACGACACCGUCGAAUCUCAAACUUUAACUGCCAAAACUAUUGUUUUUCAUCCUGUAGUCCCUUGUAGAAUUACUAAACGUCCUUUUUUGGGCCGAGAUUUCGAGGAACGCUUUGUCGGGGUUUGUGUGCACAUAUUUCAAACCAUACGGACCUAAAAAUUAGAAGUCAUUCCAUCUUUGUUCCCCUAGAGCCUUCCAGCAGUUCCUAAACCGCUCCAGUCGGAGCACGUUAUCAUUCUUGUUAGUUAUGAGCAAAUUCCCUCGGUAUGUACAUUCUUUCAUCAGUUUGUUCCGUGUUUCUUCUCUAGCCUGAGCUUGACACACUAUUCUAGCUAGACAUGGGUGUGGCUCGUGACACCUAAUGACCAAACGGAUCUACGGCACCGUCGAAUCUCAAACUUUAACUACCAAAACUAUUGUUUUUCAUUCUGUAGUCCCUUUUAAAUUACUAAACGUCCUUUUUUGGGCCGAGAUUUCCAGGAACGCUUUCGCCCGGUUUGUGUGCAAGUAGUUCAAAUCAUACGGACCUAAAAAUUAGAUGUCAUUCCAUCUUUAUUCCCUCUAGAGCCUUCCAGCACUUCCUAAACCGCUCUAGUCGGAGCACGUUAUCAUUCUUGUUAGUUCUGAGUGAAUUCCCUUGGUAUGAUCAUUCUUUCAUCAGUUUGUUCUCCAUUUCUUCUCUAGUCUGAGCCUAACACACUACUCUAGCUAGACAUGGGUGUGGCUCAUAACACCUCAUGACCAAACAGGUCUACGGCACCAUCAAAUCUCAAACUUUAACUGCCAAAACUAUUGUUUUUCAUUCUGUAGUCCAUUUUAGAAUUACUAAACGUCCUUUUUUGGGACGAGAUUUCCAGGAACGCUUUCUCGGGGUUUGUGUGCACGUAUUUCAAAUCAUACAGACCUAAAAAUUAGAAGUCAUUCCAUCUUUAUUCCCCUAGAGCCUUCCAGCAGUUCCUAAACCGCUCCAGUCAGAGCAUGUUAUCAUUCUUGGUAGUUCUGAGUGAAUUCCCUCGGUAUGAUCAUUCUUUCAUCAGUUUGUUCCCCGUUUCUUCUCUAGCCUGAGCCUAACACACUAUUCUAGCUAGACAUGUGUGUGGCUCGUAACACCUGUUGACCAAACGGAUCUACGGCACCGUCGAAUCUCAAAUUUUAACUGCCAAAACUAUUGUUUUUCAUCUUGUAGUCCCUUUUAGAAUUACUAAACGUCCUUUUUUGGGCCGAGAUUUCCAGGAACGCCUUCUCGGGGUUUGUUUGCACGUAUUUCGAACCAUAUGGACCUAAAAAUUAGAAGUCAUUCCAUAUUUAUUCCCCUAUAGCCUUCCCGCAGUUUCUAAACCGCUCCAGUCGAAGCAUGUGAUCAUUCUUGUUAGUUCUGAGUGAAUUCCCUCGGUAUGAUCAUUCUUUCAUCAGUUUGUUCCCUGUUUCUUCUCUAGCCUGAGCCUGACACACUAUUCUAGCUAGACAUGGGUGUGGCUCAUGACACUUGAUGACCAAACGGAUCUACGGCACCGUUGAAUCUCAAACUUUAACUACCAAAACUAUUGUUUUUCAUUCUGUAGUCCCUUUUAAAUUACUAAACGUCAUUUUUUGGGCCGAGAUUUCCAGGAACGCUUUCUCGGGGUCUGUGUGCAUGUAUUUCAAAUCAUACGGACCUAAAAAUUAGAAUCCAUUCCAUCUUUAUUCCCCUAGAGCCUUCGAGCAGUUCCUAAACCGCUCCAGUUGGAGCACGUUAUCAUUAUUGUUAGUUGUGAGUGAAUUCCCUCGGUAUGAUCAUUCUUUCAUCAGUUUGUUCCCUGUUUCUUCUCUAGUCUGAGCCUAACACACUAUUCUAGCUAGACAUGGGUGUGGCUCGUAACACCCGAUGACCAAACGGAUCUACGGCACCGUCGAAUCUCAAACUUUAACUGCGAAAACUAUUGUUUUUCAUCCUGUAGUCCUUUUUAGAAUUACUAAACGUCCUUUUUUGGGACGAGAUUUCCAGGAACGCUUUCUCGGGGUUUGUGUGCGCGUAUUUCAAACCAUACGAACCUUAAAAUUAGAAUUCAUUCCAUCUUUAUUCCCCUAGAGCCUUCCAGAAGUUCCUAAACCGCUCCAGUCGGAGCACGUUAUCAUUCUUGUUAGUUCUGAGCGAAUUCCCUCGGUAUGAUCAUUCUUUCAUCAGUUUGGCCCCCCUUUCUUCUCUAUUCUGAGCCUAGCACACUAUUCUAGCUAUUAAUGGGUGUGGAUCGUAACACCUAAUGACCAAACGGAUCUACGACACCAUCGAAUCGCAAUCUUUAACUGCCAAAACUAUUGUUUUUCAUCCUGUAGUCCCUUUUACAAUUAUUAAACGUCCUAUUUUGGGCCGAGAUUUCCAGGAACGCUUUCUCGGGGUUUGUGUGCAUGUAUUUCAAAUCAUACGGACCUAAAAGUUUGAAGGCAUUCCAUCUUUAUUCCCCUAGAGCCUUCCAGCAGUUCCUAAACCGCUCCAGUCGGAUCACGUUAUCAUUAUUGUUAGUUCUGAGCAAAUUCCCUCGGUAUGAUCAUUCUUUCAUCAGUUUGUUCCCUGUUUCUUCUCUAACCUGAGCAUGACACACUAUUCUAGCUAGACAUGGGUGUGGCUCGUGACACCUGAUGACCAAACGGAUCUACGGCACCGUCGAAUCUCAAACUUUAACUGCAAAAACUAUUGUUUUUCAUUCUAUAGUCCCUUUUAAAUUACUAAACGUCCUUUUUUGGGCCGAGAUUUCCAGGAACGCUUUCGCCCGGUUUGUGUGCAAGUAUUUCAAAUCAUACGGACCUAAAAAUUAGAUGUCAUUCCAUCUUUAUUCCCUCUAGAGCCUUCCAGCACUUCCUAAACCGCUCUAGUCGGAGCACGUUAUCAUUCUUGUUAGUUCUGAGUGAAUUCCCUUGGUAUGAUCAUUCUUUCAUCAGUUUGUUCUCCAUUUCUUCUCUAGUCUGAGCCUAGCACACUACUCUAGCUAGACAUGGGUGUGGCUCAUAACACCUGAUGACCAAACGGAUCUACGGCACCGUCGAAUCUCUAACUUUAACUGCAAAAACUAUUGUUUUUCAUCCUGUAGUCCCUUUUAGAAUUACUAAACGUCCUCUUUUGGGCCGAGAUUUCCAAGAACGCUUUCUCAGGGUUUGUGUGCGUGUAUUUCAAAGCAUAUGGACCUAAAAAUUAGAAUUCAUUCCAUCUUUAUUCCCCUAGAGCCUUCCAGCAGUUCCUAAACCGCUCCACUCGGAUUACGUUAUCAUUCUUGUUAGUUCUGAGCGAAUUCCCUCGGUAUGAUCAUUCUUUCAUCAGUUUGUUCCCCGUUUCUUCUCUAGUCCGAGCCUAGCACACAAUUCUAGCUAGACAUGGGUGUGGCUCGUAUCACCUGAUGACCAAACGGAUCUACGGCACCGUCGAAUCUCAAAUUUAACUGCCAAAACUAUUAUUUUUCAUCCUGUAGUCCCUUUUAGAAUUACUAAACGUCCUUUUUUGGGCCGAGAUUUCCAGGAACGCUUUCGCGCGGUUUGUGUGCAAGUAUUUCAAAUCAUACGGACCUAAAAAUUAGAUGUCAUUCCAUCUUUAUUCCCCUAGAGCCUUCCAGCACUUCCUAAACCGCUCCAGUCGGAGCACGUUAUCAUUCUUGUUAGUUCCGAGUGAAUUCCCUUGGUAUGAUCAUUCUUUCAUCAGUUUGUUCUCCAUUUCUUCUCUAGUCUGAGCCUAGCACACUACUCUAGCUAGACAUGGGUGUGGCUCAUAAGACCUCAUGACCAAACGGGUCUACGGCACCAUCAAAUCUCAAACUUUAACUGCUAAAACUAUUGUUUUUCAUUCUGUAGUCCCUUUUAGAAUUACUAAACAUCCUUUUUUGGGCCGAGAUUUCCAGGAACGCUUUCUCGGGGUUUGUGUGCAUGUAUUUCAAAUCAUACAGACCUAGAAAUUAGAAGUCAUUCCAUCUUUAUUCCCCUAGAGCCUUCCAGCAGUUCCUAAACCGCUCCAGUCAGAGCAUGUUAUCAUUCUUGGUAGUUCUGAGUGAAUUCCCUCGGUAUGAUCAUUCUUUCAUCAGUUUGUUCCCCGUUUCUUCUCUAGCCCGAGCCUAACACACUAUUCUAGCUAGACAUGUGUGUGGCUCGUAACACCUGAUGACCAAACGGAUCUACGGCACCGUCGAAUCUCAAACUUUAUCUGCCAAAACUAUUGUUUUUCAUCUUGUAGUCCCUUUUAGAAUUACUAAACGUCCUUUUUUGGGCCGAGAUUUCCAGGAAUGCUUUCUCGGGGUUUGUUUGCAUGUAUUCCAAACCAUACAGACCUAAAAAAUUAGAAGUCAUUCCAUAUUUAUUCCCCUAUAGCCUUCCAGCAGUUUGUAAACCGCUCCAGUCGGAGCAUGUUAUCAUUCUUGUUAGUUCUGAGUGAAUUCCCUCGGUAUGAUCAUUCUUUCAUCAGUUUGUUCCCUGUUUCUUCUCUAGCCUGAGCCUGACACACUAUUCUAGCUAGACAUGGGUGUGGCUCAUGACACCUGAUGACCAAACGGAUCUACGGCACCGUCGAAUCUCAAACUUUAACUACCAAAACUAUUGUUUUUCAUUCUGUUGCCCCUUUUAAAUUACAAAACGUCAUUUUUUGGGCCGAGAUUUCCAGGAACGCUUUCUCGGGGUUUGUGUGCAUGUAUUUCAAGUCAUACGAACCUAAAAAUUAGAAUACAUUCCAUCUUUAUUCCCCUAGAGCCUUCCAGCAGUUCCUAAACCGCUCCAGUCAGAGCACGUUAUCAUUCUUGUUAGUUCUCAGGGAAUUCCCUCGGUAAGACCAUUCUUUCAUCAGUUUGUUCCCCGUUUCUUCUCUAGCCUGUGCCUAGCACACUAUUCUAGCUACACAUGGGUGUGGCUCGUAACACGUGAUGACCAAACGGAUCUACGACACCGUCGAAUCUCAAACUUUAACUGCCAAAACUAUUGUUUUUCAUCCUGUAGUCCCUUGUAGAAUUACUAAACGUCCUUUUUUGGGCCGAGAUUUCGAGGAACGCUAUGUUGGGGUUUGUGUGCACGUAUUUCAAACCAUACAGACCUAAAAAUUAGAAGUCAUUCCAUCUUUGUUCCCCUAGAGCCUUCCAGCAGUUCCUAAACCGCUCUAGUUGGAGCACGUUAUCAUUCUUGUUAGUUCUGAGCAAAUUCCCUCGGUAUGAUCAUUCUUUCAUCAGUUUAUUCCCUGUUUCUUCUCUAGUUUGAGCCUAGCACACUAUUCUAGCUACUAAUGGGUGUGGAUCGUAACACCUGAUGACCAAACGGAUCUACGGCACCGUCGAAUCUCAAACUUUAACUGCCAAAACUACUGUUUUUCAUUCCGUAGUCCCUUUUAAAUUACUAAACGUCAUUUUUUGGGCAGAGAUAUCCAGGAACGCUUUCUCGGGGUUUGUGUGCACGUAUUUCAAAUCAUACGGACCUAAAAAAUAGAUUCCAUUCCAUCUUUAUUCCCCUCGAGCUUUCCAGCAGUUCCUAAACCGCUCCAGUCGGAGCACGUUAUCAUUAUUGUUAGUUCUGAGUGAGUUCCCUCGGUAGGAUCAUUCUUUCAUCAGUUUGUUCCCCGUUUCUUCUCUAGUCUGAGCCUAACACACUAUUCUAGCUAGACAUGGGCAUGGAUCAUAACACCUGAUGACCAAACGGAUCUACGGCACCGUCGAAUCUCAAACUUUAACUGCGAAAACUAUUGUUUUUCAUCCUGUAGUCCCUUUUAGAAUUACUAAACGUCCUUUUUGGGCCGAGAUUUCCAGGAACGCUUUCUCAGGGUUUGUGUGCGUGUAUUUCAAACCAUACGGACCUAAAAAUUAGAAUUCAUUCCAUCUUUAUUUCCCUAGAGCCUUCCAGCAGUUCCUAAACCGCUCCAGUCGGAGCACGUUAUCAUUCUUGUUAGUUCUGAGCGAAUUCCCUCGGUAUGAUCAUUCUUUCAUCAGUUUGUUCCCCGUUUCUUCUCUAGUCUGAGCCUAACACACGAUUCUAGCUAGACAUGGGUGUGGCUCGUAUCACCUGAUGACCAAACAGAUCUACGGCACCGUCGAAUCUCAAAUUUAACUGCCAAAACUAUUAUUUUUCAUCCUGUAGUCCCUUUUAGAAUUACUAAACGUCCUUUUUUUGGCCGAGAUUUCCAGGAACGCUUUCGCCCAGUUUGUGUGCAAGUAUUUCAAAUCAUACGGACCUAAAAAUUAGAUGUCAUUCCAUCUUUAUUCCCCU